Molecule: long non-coding RNA, 48877 nt
Filed under: Sorghum bicolor (sorghum)
Lineage: Eukaryota; Viridiplantae; Streptophyta; Magnoliopsida; Poales; Poaceae
Description: long non-coding RNA (SBIC_LNC004501)
Rfam family: Plant small nucleolar RNA R71 (bases 3807-3913)
Source: RNAcentral
CAGUGAUGGUAUAUGCCUUCUCUCAAGAUAUGUAGUAUUUGUGGUAUAGAGCAUAGUGACUUUGCCUUCUCUCUCACCCUACUCUAAUAAGGCUUUAAUAUCUAGAGCUCAUAGGUGGGAGAUAAAAUAUACAUACUUACAAGACAUUUAUUGUAUAGUCAAACCAUGGAUCCAAAGAAACAAAUCAAUAAGCAAAAUCAAGAUGUGCAUGUGUGGCGAAUGAAUGGUGUAUGGUGAUGAUGGUGAUAACAAUGGUGAAGGAAGUCUAAUUCUACUUUUGCUCUUUUGAGGGGAUACAUACCUUUCUUGCUUUUUGAAACUUUGUGAGGAGAAUGAGAUGCUCUAUAUUUUUUUCUUUUCUCUCAGGUGGGUAUCUUGUACCCCUAAUUCUACUGUCGGACACUUGUCCAUUUUUACCUCUCGUCUCACUUUUUCUUUUCUUUCGAGGUUCCGAGCACUUGCUCCUUUUUAUUUCCUCGUAUCUCUCUUUUUUUUAGAGCACUCAUCUCUUGAGAUAAUAUAGCAAGUGGUAGUAACAAGAUAACUUGAGCAUUUAUUUCACAGCAGAAAAACAGAAAUAUUUUUGGCUAUUCUCUCCCGUAUUAGGAGUAGCAUAUUUUUAGGUGGUUCUGGAGAUGGAAAUGGGUGGAUAUAUGUGGACGGUACUCCCGGAGUAGAAGUAGCAUAUAUGAGUGAACGUGCAAGUGAAAUCUUGAUUUAACCACAUGACAAGCUCCUAAGGGUCUACACAGCUUGACCACACUCAAUGCUCAUAAGCGGUAAAUAGUAAAUGUGUGGCUCAAAGUCUAGCAAGCAUGUAUAUAUGACUGUGGUAGGAAUUUAAACUCUCAUCAUACAGGAACUCAUCAUGCAACAUUUUAAAUAUUUUCAAAGAUAAAAUUCUCUAGAAUUUUAGCAUCACUAGGAACAGAUAAAUAGCAGCUCAACCUUCCCAUAUCGUAUCCGUUAACAACUUAGACUUCAUCCCACAAGUUUAGGUCUAGAGCAAGCUUUAAAUUAUAACAGUUAAACUUGAGAGAGAACUUAAAAUUUGCAAAUUAGGCAGAGCAACUAUUCAUCAUAUCCAUGCUUGAGUUUUAUUUAGAUACAGAUUAGCAUAGCCACUUUAUUUAUUUAUUAAACACACUAAGCAAAAGAUAUAUAUAUAAGCAUAAAAUCUUUAUUUGGUUUUCCAUAGUUAUGUAUUUUUAAUAUUCUAAUAUAAUAUAAGUAUAAAGAUAGAUAGAAAUACUUAUCGGGAUAAAUGGGGGUGCUCUCCCCCAAGCUGAAUUUUGACGUAAUUUCUCUUGAUGUAGCUAGCAGGCGGCAGAGGUGUAUUUGAAAGUCAGCAGCAUUCUGACAGCGAUUAGAAUGUCCUCCGUCUGCUAGUCUUCUUGAUUCUUAAAUUCUGUGAAGCUCAAAUAGACAAUAAAGCUUGUGGAACUUGAUUAAGUGUUAGCAUAAAUAUCUAGCCUUUAUCAUGUUGAGACUCCUUAAUAAUUAUUACUCCCUAUUUUUAUAUUUUUAUUUUAUAGAGCAGAAAAGAAAUAUUUAUUUUAUUUUUAUGCCACCACAGUGAAUGAACUUAUAGGUUUUAUGCCACUCGUCUACUCACAUGGGGCUUACUGUUUUUCACAUUUUUAUUUUCCUUUUAGGAUAGCAUGAAUAUGAUUAACUAAGUAAACUAGUUGACAUAAUUGAAAGGGAAAGGAUAACUAUCAAGUUUACUUCUUGGCAAGGCGUUCGGUCUUUUUAAGUCCUCCGAACGGGACUCUCCGUUUUCUCAAUUGUCCUGAGAUUCGUUGGGUGGCGGAGUCGGUACUUCCGGCAGCGCCUCCUCUUCAUGUAUAGUUAUCUUCUCUUUCCAUACCUGACUCAGUGCUACGGUCUCCUCUGGAUAAUUCUGUUUAAACUCUACGUCUUCUGACCUUAUAACUUCUCCUUCGUAGUCUGCCCAUCCGUCCUUGAUGAUUUGCCACCUCUGGUUGCGGUUGCGUCUCUUUCUAACCUGCUUAGAUUCUUCAACGAUAUAGUCAGGGUCAGUAAAAUAACGGCGUACCUUCUCUGAGGGGAAGUGCAUAUGGACUUCUCCGGUUCCAAUGUAGAUGAUUGCUUUAACGGUGCUGAGGAACGGUCUUCCAAGGAUGAUGGGUGGAUCGUAUUCAUCUUCUCCCAUGUCAAUAACCUGAAAGUCUGUGUAGACAAAGUGAUCAUCUAUUUUGACUGGGACAUCAGUUACUGUUCCUUUAACUUCUCAAAAUGUCUGAUCUGCCAUCUGGAGUUGAAUGUAUGUUGGUCUUAGGGGCAUGGUUCCGAACAAGAGCCGAUAGGUGACUGCGGCCAUUAUGUUGACGCCUGAUCCGGUGUCGCAAAACAUUUUAUAGAAGUUGUAUCCAUUUAUUGAGCAGUAGUUGCUUGGCAUUCCUGGGUCGUCCUUCUUAAUCAAAAACGGUGACUUAAGUUGAUGAUCUUGGCCUCCAUGAAUUACAGUGACCAUCUUAGCUGACUCGGUCCACAUUUGCUUGUUCCUGUUCCUCUUGUUGGUCCUCUUCCUUGAUUCACGUCUGGAUUGAUCUGGGAUUUGUGUAGUCUUGUUCUUGAAGAAAAAUGUCUCCUUCCUCCCUUUGAUGUAGAAACUGAUCUUGGCAGCACUAGCGUAGAUGAUAGCUCCCGUGGUGUUCAAGAAUGGCCUCCCUAAGAUGAUAGGUGCUCUCUCAUCAUUACCGGUCUCUACCACUACGAAGUCGGCUAGAGCAUAUAAGGUACCAACUCGGACACAAAGGUUCUUCAAUAUUCCUUUUGGAAAAGUUAUUGUCUGGUCUGCAAACUACAAACACAUUGUUGUCUCUUAUAAAGGAUAUGUAAAGAAUUUUUCAUAGAGAACCCUGGGUAUAAUGUUGACGCUGGAGCCAAAGUCACAGAGUGCUUCUGGAACGUCCACCAUGCCGAUGGAGAUUGGGAUGACGGGGCGUCCUGGAUCACCUUUCUUGACCGACAGAAGGUCAGUAGUGAAUUCAGUGACGGGGUCACUCCAAUUAUUACCUGCAUCAAACAUGUCUACAAGAUUUGUAGAUUCUAAUCCUUUCGGUUGUGAUGGUAUACCGGGGUUAGUAACAGGAACAGCAGCAACUAUUUGAUUUAACUGAGAUUCAAUCAUUUUAUUAAAGCUAAUUUGAUUCAUGAUGGCAGUAGAGAAAUUAUCCAUUCUAUUAUUUAUAUUUUCUAGCAUUUUAUCAUUAGAUGCCAAUUUCUUAGAUAGGUUAUCCAUUAGCUUUCCUUGAUUAGACACUAACUCUCUCAGAGGUGGAAAAUUAUUAUUAUUGUUGUAAGAAUUGUUACCUUGAUAAUUACCUGAGUAGUUAGGCCUCUAUUGAUUCCAACCUUGAUUUUGUUGAGGACGGUUGUAGUAGUAGUAGUUGUUGUUGAUGUAGUUAACAUCCUCCAACAUCUCAGGGCAGUGAUUGCCUGAGUGUCCAGUGUCUCCACACUCCUCACAAGUCAUGUGAGAGUCAUAGAUGUGCAUAACUUCUUUCUUAUCUCCAGCUUUAUCAUCAAGCUUCUUCAUGAGCAGGUCUAGCUUUGCAGACAGCAUGUCUACCUCCUUCAGCUGAUGCAUACCUCCACCUCUCUUGCGUGUCUGGGUCCUCUCUUCAUUCCAGCUUUGAUUGGACACCAUCUUCUCCACAAGAGCUGUGGCUUGUGGUAUAGUAAGUGAUAAGAAUGCUCCUCCAGCUGCAGCAUCCAUGGUUUCUCGGGCACUGUUGCCGAGCCCAUGAUAAAACGUCUGCAUUAGUAGUCAACUCUCCAUUCCAUGAUGGGGACAUUCUAGGAUGUAGUCUUGAAAGCGCUCCCAUGCUUUUGGAACAGAUUCAUCAUUUUGUUGCUGAAAACUUGUAAUCUUCCCACGGAGAGCAUUGGUCUUGCCCAUGGGAAAGAACUUAGCUAGGAAGUUUGUUGAGCAGAGUGCCCACGUAGUAUUCUUCUCCUUUGUAACGUAGAACCACUGCUUCGCUCUUCCUAACAGUGAGAAUGGGAAGAGGCAAAGUAGUAUAGCAUCUUUGGAAACUCCUGAUAUGGUGAAUGUGUUGCAAAUCUCCAGGAAGUGUUGUAAAUGAGCACUAGCAUCUUCGUGUGCCUUCCCACAGAGCUGGUUGGAUUGCACCAUGUUGAUAAGUCCAGGCUUGAGCUCAAAGUUGCCAUCGAUCUCUGCAGCAGGUCUAGUGCGGAUGUUGUCCGUAGUGGGAGCUGAGAACUCGCGGAUUGAUUUGUUCGCCAUGGCUUCGAACUCUGAAGACAAGUUCCGGUGAUCUUCUUGAUUGGAUGAAGCUUCUUGCUAAAGUGUUGAUGAUCUCUUCUUGAGCUUGGCUCUUGUCUUCUUGAAUAACGCUUCGUGAUUGUCAACAAAUUUUCCUGGAAGAUGUCUUCUAUUCAUACAUUCCCCUGCAUAAGAUAAAAUAGAAAAAUAUCGGGGUAAAACUGUAUGAGAGAAUAGAUAAGCUCAAUCAUAUUAGUGAUGCGAAUGAUAACUCAAAAUCUUUUAUUCUAUUCCUGAUUAGUAAUCAACCUUCCCCGGCAGCGGCGCCAAAAAUGCUUGUUGGGUAUUCUUGACAUCAUUACCAAAAGUAGACUACGUUCACUAAAUCUAGUAACGGUGCCAAAAAUGCCAAACCUAUCCCUCACACCACUUAAGCCAAGUUGUCAUCCCCAGCAUGACAUGAGAGACGCGAUAUUGAAAUAUGCAAUUGCUCUUUUAAAUAAAUAAUGAAUGGGAUCUACAAGCGCACAGAUUAAUACCGAUGUAGCAUUUUAACCGGGAAGUAUUCUAGGUAUCGUUAUUUAUAUUUUUACCACUGGGAAGGGAUUAGCAAUCAUCAAUAGUGAUUACAGAAUAGAAUAUGAGAUUGAGCAUCUAUCAUUGCAUAUGUAAUUGAGAACAUUUAUCUAACUCUUCAUACAGGGAUAAGUGUCACAUAAAAGAUGUAUGAAUUAAUGAAUAGUGACAAGGAUAAUUAAUCUGAUCAGCCACAUAUAAAUAUGAUAAGCACCUCAAUUAUAUACUCUAGAAAGUCAUUAGCAUGGUAUUAGAACGAACUACAAGAAUAUUCCCUAAGUUAUUCUUAACUAUAUAGUCUAGCAUAUCAUAGUUAGUGCAAGCAUACUUAGCAAUCAUUGCGAGACAAGACUACGCCCAUGCAUAGUGAUAUUAGCAAGGAAUAUGAGAAACAUAGCAAUCACUCUCCUGUAAUAAUGUUGCUCUACCAGCCCAAUACACGAGAGGGGACUAUAUAAGAAUCAAUGAAGCUGUCACUAUCACGAACUACCCCACGAUCUGGCAUAUUGGGUACAAUCGCAGAUAAAUACGGUAUAAGCACCACGCCUACACAAUAUCUAUCACUUACCCAUGGAUCCGAUGGAUAAACUCUAUACGAUCCUAAGCAUGUAUAUAGAGCCAAUCUAACUAAGCCAAGUACAUAACUAUGAUAAACUAAGAACAAUAUAAUCUUGAAUAUAAGCAAGUAGAGCAAAGUCAUAAGCAAUAUAUUGAAGUAGAACAAAGUCAUAUUCAUAAUAUUGAAGAACAAAGAUAAUUAGAAAGCAAUUAGAAGCACAAUUAGAGAAUUACCAAGAAUCCUCUUGACAGAUCCGGAAACCAAUCGAAGAUUGACUCCUUCUAGUUCUAAUCCUAUGUUGCUAUGCUAAUCUAGAUAUCUAAUUGAUGUGGUGGCUCUAAUCUUGAUCAGAGGCUUCUUCUCCCUUGAAGAACAAUGAAUUAGGGUUGAGAGGCUCUCUCCUCCAGGGGCCAGGGGGUCUGGUUUUAUAGUCCCUUCAAGUGAAUACGGGCCGUUGGAUCAAACCGACAUAGAUUGUAUGGUUUAGAUUCAUCCUUUAGGUCGGUGGAGAUCUCCCACGAAGCAGAGUCCUGAUUGGCCUCGGCAGGUGGGCGGGCGCCCAGGGUCAGGCCCCGUUUCGCCUCCACUUCAGUCUCAUGGCUUCUGGAGUGUUCUAGAUGUAAGAUAAUUGCGCGGCACAUUAAUGUCUCUAUGUAAUCCCGACAUGUGGGCCUUUCUUCCGUAUUUCCUGAUAACCCCCUGUAUAAAUAGACAAACACCAAAACUCGUGGAAUUCUGUCAGAUAAAACCCUAAGUCUAGAUGUUGAUUUCAUUUGGAUCCUUUUCUUUAUUUAUUUGAUAAUUAAAUUUGAUACUUAAGGACCGUCAACACUAACCACUGGACGCUCUCAGAGUGCGUCCGGUGCUCAACCCUAGCAGGGUCAAGCACACCGGACUCUGAGGCCAACUUGGUGUCAUAAAUUACCAAAACCAAACUUGGGCUUUCAAUCUCCCCCUUUUUGGUAAUUGAUGACAACCAUCACAAAGAUAUGAAAUGAAAUCAUAAUGAACUUGAAUUGCUUGUCCAAAGCAUUUUUAUCAUGAGACAAGGUUGGACAAACAUUUCAGUUUCAGUUUUGGUUGUACUAGCUCCCCCUACAUAUGUGCUUCCAUGAGUUUAGUUCAAGUUUGCACAUAUGCAUGAAUUGGAAUUUUGGGAGAAUUAUUACUACCAAAAGGAUGCUAAGGUAUAUAGGAUGGACCUUUGAAGCGUGAUACCAAUCGGAGUUGCCAAUAUACCAUCCUUAGCACCAAUGUAGCUAGACAUACAUCAAAAACUCAAGAUACCUCGUGAGAUCACAUUAUACGUCUAGAUACCACAAGAAAAAUAAAACUUUAUGUUAGAAUUCAAAGCAUCAUUCAAGAUCUAUUUCUAGCAAGCACCAACCAAACAAGAGUGUUGAAUUUAAACAUGCAAUGCAACACCACGUUAUGUUAGUGCACAUCCAAAUGCAACAAAUGGUUCAUGAGCUUGCUCCCCCUAUUUGUGUGCUCAAGUUUAAAAAAUUUUCUCUUCUUUUCUCUCCCUAUCUUUGUUUCUUCCACCCUUUUUGAAUUUAUCUUUGUUUCUCUCCCCCUUUGUCAUCAAUGACCACAAAGGUUCAAAUUUUAGUGAGAAUUAAGUCAAUCAAUGUGAGGGUGAAAUUAUGGUUCAAUCUAGAUCACUUGCCUAGAACAUGUAAUUCGGUUUGAUCCAAGGACAAGUUUUUUCACACCUCAUGAAGUAUAAGGGUUAUCUUGACCAUGUUGAAUUACACAUCAUAAGCUCAUAUUCUAGAUUCAACACUAGGCUCACAAGCUCACACACAUGUCAUAUGCUACCACUAGAUCAAUCGAACAUUGAAGCAAUAGUGGUACCAUACAUACAUCAAAAUCUUUUGAUUUUCAUGAAUGAGCCUAUUUGUUAUGCACACAUGUCUAUAUGUUCUAAUCAUGUCCUUAGCAAAGUAUGAAUGCUAUGUCAACCAACUUUACCUUACUUUGUUGGAGGAGAGGCAUAUCAUAUAUAGAUGUAGGGGUGAACCCAUCUCAAGUUGGAGAAGUCUAGUAUGUUCAACUCAUUUCUUAAUUUGCAAAAUCUCUUCUCAUCAAGUGGCUUUGUGAAGAUGUCGGCUAGUUGAUCUUCGGUGCCAAUGCUUUCAAUGCUAACAUCACCCUUUUUUGUUGAUGAUCUCUUAUGAAAUGGUGCCUUAUGUCAAUGUGCUUGGUUCUUGAAUGUUGAACCGAAUUUUGUGUCAUCUUGAUUGCACUUUCAUUGUCACAUAGCAAAGGCACAUUCUUGAAUUUGAUUCCAAAGUCAUUCAAAGUAGCUUUCAUCCAAAGCAAUUGUGCACAACAACUACUGGCACUAGUGUAUUCGGCCUCAGUGGUUGAUAGUGCAACACUAUUUUGUUUCUUUGAUGACCAUGAAACUAGAGACCUUCCUAGCAAUUGACAAGUGCCACUUGUGCUCAUUCUAUCAAUCUUACAUCCACCAUAAUCGGAUUCCGAAUAUCCAAUCAACUCAAAGUUAGACCCCUUGGGAUACCAUAAUCCAACAUCAUGAGUGCCCUUGAGAUACCUUAAUAUUCUUUUGGUUGCCUUCAAGUGACUUUCUCUAGGUGAAGCUUUGUAUCUUGCACAUUUGCAAACACUAAACAUUACAUCCGGCCUUAAUGCGGUGACAUAGAGCAAACUUCCAAUCAUGGACCGAUAUAGCUUUUGGUCUACCAUAUUGCCACUUGCAUCACUACCUAAUUGAUCAUUUGUGCCCAUAGGUGUGCUCAUUGGUUUAGCUUCUUGCAACCCAAACUUCUUGAUCGUGUCCUUGAUGUACUUGCCUUGACUAACAAAAGUGCCAUUCUUCAUUUGCUUGAUUUGAAGUCCAAGGAAGUGACUAAGCUCUCCUAUCAUGGACAUUUCAAACUCAUUUGCCAUCAUUUUUCCAAACUCUUCACAAAAAUCUUGAUUGGUUGAUCCAAAGAUGAUAUCAUCAACAUAGAUUUGCAACACAAACAAGGCAUUGCCUAGCUUCUUGGUGAAGAGGGUAGUGUCAACCUUUCCCAUCUUGAACCCUUUAGAGAGAAGGAAAUCUCUCAAUCUCUCAUACCAUGCUCUAGGUGCUUGCUUCAAACCAUACAAUGCCUUCUUGAGCUUGUAAACAUGGUUGGGUUUCUUGUCAUCUUCAAAACCGAGAGGUUGUUCAACACAGACUAACUCAUUGAUGUAUCCAUUGAGAAAUGCACUCUUCACAUCCAUUUGAUAGAGCUUGAUGUUGUGGGCAUAAGCAUAGGCUAAUAAUAUUCUAAUUGCCUCCAAUCUUGCCACCGGUGCAUAAGUUUCUCCAAAGUCAAGACCUUCAACUUGAGUGUAACCUUGUGCUACUAAUCUUGCUUUGUUUCUCACAACUACACCAUCUUGAUCUUGCUUGUUUCUAAAGACCCACUUGGUACCAAUCACAUUGUAGUUCUUUGGCCUCUCAACAAGCUCCCACACUUGAUUUCUUGUGAAGUUGUUCAACUCAUCAUGCAUGGCAUUUACCCAAUCAGAAUCCUUCAAUGCAUCUUCCAUCUUCUUUGGUUCCUCAAAUGAGACAAAUGAGUAGUGCUCACAAAAGGAUGCUAGCCUUGAUCUUGUUUGUACACCACUUUGAAUACCACCAAUGACUUGAUCUAAUGGAUGAUCUCUUGCUAUGCUUGUAGGUUGGAGUAUUGGGAGUUGAUUGCUUCCACUUGCUUGAUUUUGAUUUUGAUCAUCAUCAUGAGAGCCACUAGUACUUGCUUUAUUUGCAUCAAUUUGCACUUCUUGAUUGAUCAUGUGAAUGUCACCAUCAUCAUCAACUUGCCUUGGCCUUAUGUCACCUACAUCUAUGUUCUUCAUUGCAUUUGCCAAUUGUUCUCCUCUCACAUCAUCAAGAUUUUGAGCUUCACUUUGAGAUCCUUCGGUUUCAUCAAACUCAACAUCAUGAGCUUCCUCUAAUGUGCCACUUGCCAAGUUCCAAACUCUAUAUGCCUUGCUUGUGGUGGAAUAACCAAGUAAGAACCCUUCAUCACAUUUCUUCUCAAACUUGCUCAAUCUAGUGCCUUUCUUGAGAAUGUGGCAUUUACAACCAAACACUCUAAAUUAUGCAAUGUUGGGCUUUCUUCCAUUCAAUAGCUCAUAUGGUGUCUUUCCAAGCUUUCCAUGGUAAUAGAGACGGUUGCUACAAUAGCAAGCCGUGUUGAUAGCUUCACUCCAAAAUGAAUGGCUAACAUUGUAUUCACUAAGCAUUGAUCUAGCCAUAUCAAUCAAGGUUUUAUUCUUUCUUUCAACUACACCAUUUGAUUGAGGAGUGUAUGUUGGAGAGAAUUGAUGUCCAAUGCCAAGAUCAUCACACAAUUCCUCAAUUCUUGUGUUCUUGAAUUCACUACCAUUGUCACUUCUAAUCUUCUUGAUAGUGGUUUCAAACUCAUUUUGCACCCUCUUGACAAAAGGCUUGAAUAGAUCACAAACAUCACUCUUGUCAUAGAGGAAGAACACCCAAGUGUAUCUAGUGUAGUCAUCAACAAUCACAAAGCCAUACUUGUUGCCACCAAUGCUAGUGUAUGUUGUUGGCCCAAAUAAAUCCAUGUGCAAUAGCUCAAAUGCCUUUGAUGUGCUCAUUUCACUUUUCUUAGGAUGUGCAUUUCCUACUUGCUUUCUGGCUUGACAAGCACUACAUGGUUUAUCCUUCUCAAAAGUGACAUCCUUCAAGCCUCUAACUAAGUCAUGCCUCAAAAGUUUGUUCAAUUGUUUCAUUCCAACAUGACCAAGCCUUCUAUGUCACAACCAACCCAAACUUGAUUUGCUAAUUAGGCAUGAUGUCAACUGAGUGUCACUAUCAUUGAAAUCAACCAAGUAUAAGCUACCAUGCCUAAAUCCUUUGAAUAUCAAGUUUGAUGCAUCAACACUAACAACCUCAACAUCAUCACUUCCAAAGAUGCACUUGAAACCAAGGUCACAAAGUUGUGUAAUUGACAAGAGAUUGAAAUCAAGGCUCUCAACUAGCAACACAUUUGAUAUGCUCAUGUCAUUUGAGAUAGCAAUUUUACCAAGCCCUUUGACCUUGCCUUUCUUGUUGUUGCCGAAAGUGAUAGAAUCAAUACCACCAUUUUGACUUGUAUCAAUUUAUUUGAACAUACAAGACUCUCCGGUCAUAUGUUAAGUGCAUCCACUAUCAAGCACCCAAUGUCUUCCUCUGGCUUUGUAAUUGACCUACAAGACAAGAUCAAUUCUGUUUAGGUACCCAAACUUGAUUGGGUCCUCCAAGGUUAGCAACUAAGCUCUUUGGUACCCAAAUGGCUUUCUUCUUUGAGCCCAUCCAUGAUGCACCAAUGAACUUAGCAUGAACACCUUUUGUAUCCUUGGUAAGCACAUAGAAAGAAUUGAGUUUAAUUGAGGAUACAUGAGCUUUGGAUUUCUUGUUCAUGCAUUGUUGCUCUAGGUGACCAACUUGCUUGCAAGCUUUGCAAUACCGGUCAUUGUUCUUCACAAAACUAGUCUUGUGAGGAGCAAAGGCGGCAUUGCCUUUCUUGGGGUUAUAUCCCAAUCCCUCUUUAUAGAGAGAAGCUCUUUGGCUACCCAAGCACAUAAGCAAGCGGUCCUCACCACCAUAAGCCUUGGCUAAGGUGUGAUUGAGCUCUUUCACCUCCUUCUUGAGAAUUUCAUUCUAGACUUUUAGUGUGGUGUCACAAGUGAAACCAUCACUACUAGAUGAGGAUGAUGUAAAUGUGCUACAUGAAGGGUUAGUAGAAGCAACAACAAUAGGCUUACUUAAGAUAUCACAUGUUAGGCCUAUGUUGCAAGUUUUAGUUUUCUCCAUUUUAUUAGGCUCAUUUUCACAUUUGUUAACUAGAGAGGAAUGAGAUUCUUCAAGCUUAGUGUGAGCCUUUUGAAGCUUCUUAUGGUCUUCCUUUAGACUCUCAUAAGAUUCUCUAAGCUCAUCAAGUUCUUGCUCAAGGGUUUUCUUAUCCUUAAGCAAGGCCUUGCACUCCUUUCUAGUUUCUUUAUAGUGAUGAGUGCAAUCUUCUAGCAUAGUGAUUAGUUCAUCUUUAGUUGGUUCAUCAUCAUCAUCACUAUCAUGGUCACUCUCAUCAUCGGAUGAUACCUUAGUGGCCUUAGCCAUGAAGCAUGAUGGAGUGUCAAAGAUGGAGCUCUUUCCUUGAAUUGCAAUACUAGCAUGCCCCUUCUUCUUGUUGCUCUCAUCAUCACUUGAGGAGUCAUCACUAUCCCAAGUUGCAACAUGGGCAUCACCGUUCUUCUUGUUUGGGCCUUCCUUUUUUUCUUGAAUCUUCUUUUGCUUCUUUAUUUCCUUCUUGAUAGCAUCUUCAUCAUCACUAUCAUAAGGACAUUUGCCAAUGAGAUGGUCCUUGCUAUGGCAUCUAAAGCACCUCAUGGAAUGGUCAUUCUUCUUUGAGGAACUCUUCUUCCUUCUUGCCCGAUAGCCUUUCUUCUUCAUAAACUUGCCAAAUCUCUUGACAAGAAGAGCCAUCUCCUCAUCUUCAUCACUAUCACAAGAGCUUGCUUCUUCUUCACUUGAUGAUUCUUGCUUGGCUUUGCCCUUGGAUGUGGAGGCCUUAAAUGCCACACUUUUCUUCUUUUCAUCAUCUUUCUUCUCACCAUCCUUCUUCUUCUUGAUCAACUCAUCUUUUUCAUCAUCUUCUCUAUAGGCAUCAUCGGUCAUCACUUCUUGAAAGACUUGUUGGGGAGUUGAUUCACUAAGAGUUGUCUUGACUAGCACGGUGAUCAAUGUGUCAAAUCUCUUGGGCAAGCUUCUUAAGAAGUUCAUAGAGAAUUGACUAUCCUUCACUUCUUCCCCAAGUGCCUUGAGCUCAUUCACAAUGACUUGCAACCAAUAAAACAUCUCCGACAAACUUUCAUCUUCUUGCAUCUUGAAGCUUGAGAACUUCUCUUGGAGGAUGUAAGCUUUGGCGGUCUUAGUACCUUUGGUGCCUUCAAAUGUUUCUUCUAAUUUUGCCCAUGCAUCAUGAGCAACCUCAAUGUUCUUGAUUUGCUCAAAGGUCUUGUCAUCAAGAGCUUCAUGAAGAGCACUAAUUGCGAUGUCAUUGCAUUGAAGCUUCUUUUCUUCAACCGGUGUUACCCCUCUCAACCCUAGGAACUCCACCUCCUUUGCAAAAGUGCUAACACCAACAAGUGUCCACCACCAAAGUGCAUGUGUGUUAGCUUUUCACAAACAUUUUCCCAAAGGAGUUAAGUUAGCAGUUUACUAGAUCCUAAUGCAUAUGCUCAAGAUGUAGACCUAGUAGCACUUGAUUCGAGAGAUAACCGUGAUUUCCUCUCUUGAUAGUCGGCUAUCUAUCCUAAACCCGGUCAAUCACUUCUCUACUCAUCUUAGACCGGCAAAAGUAAAACCCUAUGUUUAUACCUUUGCCUUGAUAACUUUGCUCCUCGUCUAUCAUCAUGAUCUUCACUUGAUGCUUCAUUCCUUUGUGAUCAUGUGGCCACCUUUCCAUGCCACCAUGCACCUUCAUCACAUGUGUUGCUAUGCCUAACUCAAAUCACUUAAACACAAGGCAUUAGCAACUUGGUGUCAUUAAUUACCAAAACCAAACUUGGGCUUUCAGCAGAGGCACCAUUUAUUUGAGGCUUAACAACCUUCGGUGAAGAAAUGGCUCUUAGUUUGCACAUCAAUAACACCAAGAAGGCAACUUACUUUGAUGGCACAAAUUAUGCAUAUUGGAAGGUCAAGAUGAUCGCCCAUCUCAAGUCAAUCAAUAAAGAGGUUUAAAAGGUGACCGAAACAAAGUUUAAGGUUGCAAACAACAAUGCACCAACACCGGUCGAAGAGAAGAAGCUACAAUGCAACGAUAUUAUUGCCAUUAGUGCUCUUCAUGAAGCACUUGACGACAAGUCCUUUGAGCAAAUCAAGAAUAUUGAGAUUGCUCAUGAUGCAUGGGCAAAGCUAGAAGAAACAUUUGAGGGCACCAAGAGAACCAAGACCGCCAAAGCAUACAUCCUCCAAGAAAAGUUCUCAAGCUUCAAGAUGCAAGAAUAUCAAAGUGUGCCGGAGAUGUUUCACCAGUUGCAAGUCAUUGUGAAUGAACUCAAUGCACUUGGAGAAGAAGUGAAGGAUAGUCAAUUCUCUAUGAAGUUCUUGAGAAGCUUGCCUAAGAGAUUUGACACAUUGAUCACCAUGCUAGUCAAGACAACACUUAGUGAAUCAACUCCCCAACAAGUGUUCCAAGAAGUGAUGACCGAUGAUGCUUAUAGAGAAGAUGAUGAGAAGGAUGAGUUGAUCAAGAAAAAUAAGAAGGAUGAUGAAAAGAAGAAAAGUGUGGCAUUCAAGGCCUCCUCGUCCAAGGGCAAAGCCAAGAUAGAAUCAUCAGGUAAAGAAGAAGCAAGCUCUUGUGAUAGUGAUGAAGAUGAGGAGAUGGCUCUUCUUGUCAAGAGAUUUAGCAAGUUUAUGAAGAAGGGCUAUCAGGCAAGAGGAAAGAAGAGCUCCUCCAAGAAGAAUGACCACUCCAUGAGGUGCUUUAAAUGCCAUAGCAAGGAUGAACUCAUCGCCAAAUGUCCUUAUGAUAGCAAUGAUGAAGAUGCUAUCAAGAAGGAAAGAAAGAAGCAAGAGAAGAAGCAACAAAAGUAGGAAGGCUCAAACAAGAAGAAGGGUGAUGCCCAUGUUGCAACUUGGGAUAGUGAUGACUCCUCAAGUGAUGAUGAGAGAACCAAGAAGAAGGGGCAUGAUAGCAUUGCAAUUCAAGGAAAGAGCUCCAUCUUCGACACUCCAUCAUGCUUCAUGGCUAAGGCCACUGAGGUAUCAUCCGAUGAUGAGAGUGACCGUGCUAGUGAUAGUGAUAGUAAUAAUGAUGAUGAUGAUGAACGAACUAAAGAUGAACUAAUCACUAUGCUAGAAGAUUGCACUCAUCACUAUAAAGAAACUAGAAAGGAGUGCAAGGCCUUGCUUAAGGAAAAGAAAACCCUUGAGCAAGAACUUGAUGAGCUUAGAGCAUCUUAUGAGAGUCUAAAGGAAGACCAUAAGAAGCUUCAAAAGUCUCACACUAAGCUUGAAGAAGCUCAUUCCUCUCUAGUUAACAAGUGUGAAAAUGAGCCAACUAAAAUUGAAAAAGCUCAAACUUUCAACAUAGGCAUAACAUGUCAUAUCUUGAGUAAGCCUAUUAUUGUUGUUUCCACUAACCCUUCAUGUAGCACAUCUACAUCGUCUUCAUUUAAUAGUGAUGGUUUCACAUGUGACACCACACUAAAAGUUGAAAAUGAAAUUCUCAAGAAGGAGGUGAAAGAGCUCAAUCACACCUUAGUCAAGGCUUAUGGUGGUGAGGACCGCUUGCCUAUGUGCUUGGGUAGCCAAAGAGCUACUCUCGACAAAGACGGAUUGGGCUAUAAGCCCAUGAAAGGCAAGGCCGCCUUUGCCCCUCAUAAGACUAGUUUUGUGAAGAACAAUGGUCGGUAUUGCAAAGCUUGCAAGCAAGUUGGUCACUUAGAGCAACAAUGCAUGAACAAGAAACCCAAAGCUUAUGUAUCCUCAAUUAAGCUUAAUUCUUUCUAUGUGCUUACCAAGGAUACAAAAGGUGUUCAUGCUAAGUUCAUUGGUGCACCAUGGAUGGGCUCAUAGAAGAAAGCCAUUUGGGUACCAAAGAGCUUAGUUGCUAACCUUGGAGGACCCAAUCAAGUUUGAGUACAUUAAAAGAAUUGAUCUUGUCUUGUAGGUCAAUUACAAAGCCGGAGGAAGGCAUUGAGUGCUUGAUAGUGGGUGCACUCAACAUAUGACCAGGGAGUCUUGUAUGUUCAAAUCAAUUGAUACAACUCAAAAUGGUGGCUUUGACCCUAUCGCUUUCGGCAACAACAAGAAAGACAAGGUCAAGGGGCUUGGUAAAACUGCUAUCUCAAAUGACAUGAGCAUAUCAAAUGUGUUGCUAGUUGAGAGCCUUGAUUUUAAUCUCUUGUCAAUUGCACAACUUUGUGACCUUGGUUUCAAGUGCAUCUUUGGUAGUGAUGAUGUUCAGGUGGUUAGUGUUGAUGAAUCAAACUUGAUAUUCAAAGGAUUUAGGCAUGGUAACUUAUACUUGGUUGAUGUCAAUGAUAGUGACACUCAAUUGACAUCUUGCCUAAUUAGCAAAUCAAGGUUGGGUUGGUUGUGGCAUAGAAGGAUUGGUCAUGUUGGAAUGAAACAAUUGAACAAACUAUUGAGGCAUGCCUUAGUUAGAGGCAUGAAGGAUGUCACUUUUGAGAAGGAUAAACCAUGUAGUGCUUGUCAAGCCAGAAAGCAAGUUGGAAAUGCACAUCCUAAGAAAAGUGAAAUGAGCACAUCAAAGGCAUUUGAGUUAGUGCACAUGGAUUUAUUUACACUAUGCCAAAACAAUACAAAGGAGACACCUCAAUAGUGACAUAGAACUGAAACGCGUCACUAAUAAGUAUAUUAGUGGCGCGGAUGAACAAAGCAUGUCACUGCUAAGUUUUUGCCCAUGCCCCAAGAGCAAGACGCGUCACUAAUGAGAAGGUAUGAGUGACUCUUCUCAAGAAAACGCGUCACUAGUAAUAGAAGUGACGCAUUUGAACUACACGCGUCACUGAUAUGUGGCUAUAUUAGUGACUCUUCCCAGCGAAACGCGUCACUAGUAAUAAAAAUGACGCGUUUUAAGUAAACGUGUCACUGAUAAUGAGAGAUAUUAGUGACUCGUCCUAACAAAACGCGUCACUAGUAUUAAAAGUGACGUGUAAUGUUCAAACACGUCACUCAUAUUUAUACAUACUAGUGACUCUUCCUAUUGAGCCACGUCACUGACUACCUGGCCAGAAAAUUAACAAGAUGAAUGAUUGUCUAGUUGGGGCAAUCGUUUCCUAGGAACGUCCUCCAGACAAGUCAUCAUCAGGGACAUCAAAAAUAAAAACAAAAAAAAUACAUACAGACUAGAUGACAUCGCGUGUAUCUAUAAAUAAUCUAGAAAUAAAAAAUAAACAUAUAAAAAAGAAAUUAAAAAUGUAUAAACAUAAAAAGAUAAGAAAAUAAGAAAGAAAAAUGACAAAAAUAAGUACAAGCAAGGAAAAGAAAAAACUUAAAAUUAAAAUUGAAAUUAAUUAAAUAAAAUAAAUAUAGUAAAAGAAUAAAGAAUAUGAAAAGAAUGACAAAAAUCCAAAAAAGGAAAAAUGAAUUAAAGGAAGGAAAAAGAAAAGUAAAACAUACAAUAUAAAAAUUAAAAACAGAAAAAUAAAAAAACACAAAAAAGGAAAAUGAAAAUUAAGGUAAAGGAAAAAAAUAGAAGAUAAUAAAAAAAGGAAUAAAAGAUGAAAAAUAAUAAAGAAUAAAAGAUGACGAGAAUAAUACAAUAAAACUAAAAAUAAAAGAUAAAAUAAAAUAGGAAAACAAAUAGUAAAAAUGAAUGAAAAGAAAAGAAAAGAAAAAAGAAAUAAAAAAAGAAACGUUUGCUAUGGUGCAUAUGUCUAGCGUUACCGGCCAAUGGUCAUACUUGAGUGCGUAUGUGAGCGGCUCCACGCUAGAAGUAGGUCGCGGUAGCUUGCAUCGGAAGGGAGCGGAAGAUUUCCGCAAACUCCCGCAGCCGUCUCUCCCCCGCCGUCCCUCUCUCAUCCCCCACCGUCGCACCUCCCCUCUUCUGCCGCCACAGCACCUCCGUCCUCCCCGGUUCCCCCAACUGCGACGACACUAGGGAGGCCGAAUCUGGUUGGAGGAGGCCAGCCGGAGAGCAGGCGCUGGGCACGACACUCGAUGGAUCUGGCUUGCAUCAAGGUUCGGCAGCGUCCGCCGAGCGUGUGCGGAGGAAGAUCCAUGGAGCUCCCCUCCCCCGUCUUAGCACAAGCCGCGUCGCCUCGUCUCCUCCAUGCCACACAUGCUGCGCUCACCCCCACCUUCCCUUCUCUUCUCCAGCGACCCGGAUCCCACAUCUGCGGCACCAGUGAGCUCCCCCGAUGAGUCCUCUGCUUCCCAGAGCUCAGCACGCAGGUGGGUCCAGUGAGUUGUGCAGAGGGUCUGGUUGUGCGUGUGCCCGCUGGCGUCGUGCGGGCAGAUCCAUGGAGCGGCUACUAGCUCAAGUUUGGAUUCCGUAGAUUUACCAUUUUGGUUUAAGGUUUCAGGUCUAACUAUCAAUGGUUUAGGAGAGAAAAGGUCCUAAAGUUUAGUAAUUUUGAUCCCUAACUCAGAGUUCAGAUUUAGAUUUUUGUUUCAGCAGUGUCUAUUCUAUGAUCAUUUUCUGCUGAUUUAUUUAGUAUAUAACUAAUUCAUUUUGCCUCGAGGAAAUAGCUUGCUGAAUCAUAGAAUUUUUAAUUCUAAGAUAAUGCAUUACUACUUUUCUAGGUGUGUGCUGCUAUCAAAGUUAAGGCAUCAGUUAUCAUUUGCUUGACCUAUUCCGAGUGGGCUGCAAUGUAUAUACAAAUAUAUAUUGCUUGUACAGGGCUGCAAGGUGAUCUUACUUGUUCAAUUAUUACAAAUGUUCUUGUUUCCACAUGUAUAGCUUUGCUCUUCACUUUAAUCAUGUAGUCAUGCAUCUUAGGAAUAAAUAAUAAUUGCUUAGAAACACUGCCCUUCAUAUUAAGACCAUGGAUAAUAAUUACUUAGAAACACUGCCCUUCAUAUUAAGGUACUUGGGAAGAGCAAGAACCAUGCAGACUAAUAACUCAUUGAAAAUUCAGUUCCAUUUAGUAUGUCUGGAAAUCACUUGUAGGGUUUGCUAAUAUGUGGAUGACAGCAGCAAAUGCACCUUUAAGAUCCUGGCUUAAUUAACAAAUACUUUAUUAGUACAUGAUACAGAUCACAUGGCCCAACUGGAUUAUUGUCGAACUGGUAGCGGAUUACUUGGACAACCUUUCCGUUUUGUUUUUGUGGGUACAUCUAGUUUUGUGUUUUGUGGAAAACUAAAGAGGGCUUUUGCUAAGCCUCCACAUAUGCAUUUACUAAUAUGCUUGUCUUUUAUGCUGUGAACAAAGGUGCAAGAAUUUUGAAAUUGGUGGAGACAAUGCAAGAAGGGCAAGGGAACAUAUGUACCUUCGAAAAUAAAUGGUAUGCCUUGGCUUGUGAAUGUGUCCUUAUAUUGUUUGACUCUUGGGAGGAGCUGCUAGCUUUUGAGUGAAGAGCUGAUACAUUUCUGGGAUGAACACUGGGUAGCUGUAUGAUGAAUCCAUCCAUGUGACUUACUAACUGAUCUCUUGGUUACUAACUGUAGAGCCCCUUAGCUAUAUUUCUUCCAAUAUAUUCUAUUUCAGAAAACACCUCUUCUUUAGAAUUGAGAUCUCUUGGUUCAAUUAUUUUGAAUCCUGUUAUUUGCAAUUAUUUUCCUACAUUAUUAUCAGCACAUAGAAUAGAAAAUUGAAAACUAAGUAGAGGGAGCAUCCUACAUGCAAGUAGCAGCACAUAAACAGCUUGGCUCUUAUACUUCUCAAUUGAGCCGCGAUAGUAGCUAAGGAUCAAAUUUAAAUAACAAAUUUUAGUUUUGUUUGGAAUUUAAAUAUGGCUGUUGUUAUAGCCCAUGUCACAAUAGGACAGGACUUGGAUAGAUUUUCUUACAAAUUAAAUGGUCUGACGAGGUUAAGCAUUGAGAACUGUAUGAGACAGACGUAGACAUAAUUUCUACUAGUUUAGUUUGUGAUGGCCUCUUAGUACUAGUCUGUGCGUAACUAUGUGAGACAUAUUGUAGAUACGGUCACAUUUAUCUACAGACCAUAUGGAUCCUUGCUACUAGUCUGUGAGUAUAUAGGUGGUACUUCUUGUGCAGUAAGAAUAUGAAUCAGUAUGUAGUCUCUGAUUAUAUAAGUAGUAUGAGCUAAUUCUUGGUGAACUAUUUUUUUUACAGAUAUGCACACAUCGGACCAUGAAGAUUUGCACUGGGACCUACAUAAUUGGGUGAGCAUGUCUUUUUAUUUGGUACUAUACUCUAGUGAUAGAUGAAUAGCUAGGGUGGUCACUAUCAUAUUAUAGUGUUCAUUGACACUAAGUAUAUUUGUCACUGGAGAUCAUCCACUACCUGUUGUUUUGUAGAAAUUGAGUACAAUGACAUUUCUUACAUUUAUUAUGUCUUUAUGUUUUGUUGUAGCCUAUGAGUAGUUCGCCUACAUUAAGCUGAGAGAAAAGGAAGUAGCUAGGACAUAUAUGUAUUGCCAUUUUUUAUUUAUUUCUAUAAAGCAACCAUCACAUUUCCACAAUUCUAGUGUACUAUGUAAUCACUUAUGGUUUAACAGACUUGUAUUUUGAUCAUGAGAACUAUCUGUGUACCGUGAAGUGUGAACUAUGUAUAAUGAUAUUUUAUAUUGUACUGUACAUUGUGUUGUGCCAAGUUUUCUUUUUGACCAAAGUUCUAUCUUAACACAGGAAUUUAAAGUGUUGACAAAGCCCAUCGAUGUGCACAUGAUUAGAGGAAGAGUUGUAAGUGGGCCAUGUUCUUAGUGGCACAGGUCAUCAACAAGAACUGAGAGUUCUACCCUCCUAGUUAACCAUCAGUAUGUGUGAUUGCCAUUAUUAAUAUGGGUCGAGUGAUGUAGUGUGUGACUGAAUAAGUUAAGUCCAAUGUUGUGAUGGAUUUCGAACAAGCUGUGAAUCUGUCAAUGAAUUUGAUGUAAAUGUGGGUAUGUUAAACUUGAUAUCUAUUUGAAGAGCUUCUGUUAUGAACAUGUAGUAAUGUAUUGAUGACUUUCAUAUGUAUGUGCUGUGAACAUUGUGGUAUGUGGCUUUAAUAUGGCUCUGAUGGCUUUCAGACGCGUCACUAUUACGAUCAUGUGCGUCACUUGUUUAUUGCUAUUAGUGACAUGCUGGGUUGUUAUGAGUCACUGAUAUCUAAUUAUUAGUGACGCGUAUUGUCAGUACGUGUCGCUCAUACCUCCUUAUUAGUGACGCGUGUUCCCACUAUGUCUCACUCAUAUAUCAUUAUUAGUGACGUGUAUCCUCAAUACGAGUCACUAAUAUGCCCUUAUUAGUGACACGGUUUAUCUAUACGUGUCGCUGGUAUAUUGGUAUCAGUGACGUGGUUUAUCAGUAUGUGUCGCUGGUAUGUUCAUAUCAGUGACGCAGUUUUACACGUCACUAAUUUGUCUACAUCAGAGACGCAAUAAAAGUGACGCGUCCUUUCCGCGUCACUAAUGACCCUCUAGCCGCGUCACUAAUUAGCUUUUCUGGCAUAGUGUUAGGCCAACUACAUACACUAGUAUUGGUUUCAACAAGUAUGGAUUUAUGAUAGUGGAUGACUACACUAGAUACACUUGGGUGUUCUUCCUCUAUGACAAGAGUGAUGUUUAUGAAUUAUUCAAGUCUUUUGUGAAGAGGGUGCAAAAUGAGUUUCAAAUCACUAUCAAGAAGAUUAGAAGUGACAAUGGUAGUGAAUUCAAGAACAUAAGAAUUGAGGAAUUGUGUGAUGAUCUUGGCAUUGGACAUCAAUUCUCUCCAACAUACACUCCUCAGUCCAGUGGUGUAGUUGAAAGAAAAAAUAGAACCUUGAAUGACAUGGCUAGAUCAAUGCUUAGUGAAUACAAUAUUAGUCAUUUAUUUUGGAGUGAAGCUAUCAACACGGCUUGCUAUUGCAACCGUCUUUAUAGCCAUGGAAAACUUGGAAAGACACCAUAUGAGCCAUUGAAUGGACGAAAGCCCCACAUUGCAUACUUUAGCGUGUUUGGAUGCAAAUGCUACAUUCUCAAGAAAGGCACUAGAUUGAGCAAGUUUGAGAAGAAAUGUGAUGAAGGGUUCUUACUUGGUUAUAUUCCACCAUGAGCAAGGCAUAUAGAGUUUGGAACUUGGCAAGUGGCACAUUGGAAGAUGUCCAUGAUGUUGAGUUUGAUGAAAUCGAAGGAUCUCAAUGUGAAGUUCAAAAUCUUGAUGAUGUGAGAGGAUAUCAAUUGGCAAAUAGAAUGAAGAAGAUGGAUGUAGGUGACAUAAGGCCAAGGCACGUUGAUGAUGAUAGUGGUGACAUUCACAUGAUCAAUCAAGAAGUGCAAAUUGAUUGAAAUCAAGCUAGUACUAGUGGCUCUCAUGAUAAUGAUCAAAACCAAGGUCAAGCAAGUGGAAGCAAACAACUGCCAAAACUCCAACCUACAAGCAUAGCAAGGGAUCAUCCAUUGGAUCAAGUCAUUGGUGGUAUUCAAUGUGGUGUACAAUCAAGAUCAAGGCUAGUAUCCUUUUGUGAGCACUAUUCAUUUGUCUCAUUUGAAGAACCAAAGAGAAUAGAAGAUGCAUUGAAGGAUUCCGAUUGGGUAAAUGCCAUGCAUGAAGAAUUGAAUAACUUCACAAGAAAUCAAGUGUGGGAGCUUGUUGAGAGGCCAAAGAACUACAAUGUCGUUGGAACCAAGUGGAUCUUUAGAAACAAGCAAGAUCAAGAUGGUGUAGUUGUGAGAAACAAAGCAAGAUUAGUAGCACAAGGCUACACUCAAGUUGAAGGUCUUAACUUUGGAGAAACAUAUGCACCGGUUGCAAGAUUGGAGGCAAUUAGAAUAUUAUUAGCCUAUGCUUGUGCCCACAACAUCAAGCACUAUCAAAUGGAUGUAAAGAUUGCAUUUCUCAAUGGAUACAAUAAUGAGUUGGUUUAUGUUGAACAACCUCCCAGUUUUGAAGAUGACAAGAAACCCAACCAUGUUUACAAGCUCAAGUGAUGAGGGUCCGGCCCGAUCUUUCGAGAGGUAAUUGGUAAAUUUAUGAGGGUCAUGCCCGAUCUUCCAAAAAAUAAUUGGUAAAUUUGAUUGUGGAGAACUUGAUGUUGGCGAUCUGGCUUCAAAUCAGCACGAUUCGAACCCUACAACCAUUACACCACUGCUCUGUUGGUUAUCAACAAAGCACAACUUGAUUGACCUCGCCAAGAAGGCUUUUCCUAAAAGCGAAUCGAAGAACACAAGCAAGAAAGUAUAAACACGCAAUCUCAAAUUGCAGAUGUGAAUGAUGCAAAUAUUCAAAUGAGGGUUCAAGAACUCGGUUCCAAAGGACUAAUCGACACAGUGGAGGAGAUCAAAAACGGGGCCCUGGAUCACUGUAAAAGGAUUUGUCACCACAGUUACAAUGAACGAUUCAGUUUCUCGAUGGAAAACUAAACUCUAAACAAAACCUUGGUCUAAACAGCGGCGGUUGCAUGGAAUAUAAAGUAGAAGUGACCUAGGGUUGGAGGCGACUAGGGAGAGGUGCCCACAACAUGGGUUUAAGGCCCAAAUUCGAUACAAGAUCAAGUUGGCCCAAAAUAGGUGAUGCAGCACCUUGUCGUGGACAUAACGAUUAAUCCACGAAGGAUCUGGAGCUGGGACUAGAUCCAAAACGACAGCGUCGUUGUCCCCUUUCCAACGAGUCCAAGAUCAUCCUGUUUUGAUGUGGUAUGAAGAAGUUAUGAUCAAAACAAUGAUGACGUGUUUGCUGAAUCCGAGAGUGACGUGGUAGCUGAGUUGGAGAUGAAUUCCAACUUAGAAAAGAUGAUGGUGUCAACGUAUCCAGCGUGGUGAUGUCCUCAUCAUCCUCCCCUUCUUGAAUUAGAGUCAUCCUCGACUCCAUCUUGGUGAUGUCCUCAUCAUCCCCUCCUUCUAGAAUUAGAGUCGUCCUCGACUCUUUCCCAUCAACAAACUCCUGCAAAAGGUUAGUGACAGCAGGCAAUGCACAGGACAUAAUAGGUUGACAAAGCAUAGUAUAACAUGGUGCAUCUGGAUUAUCACAUAAUGCAUCAGUAGUAGAAGUUGUAGCAAGUAAAGCACCUCCAUGUAACUUAUUUUCAUUAUUUUUAUCAAUGUCUGUGGAAGGUUUAUUGUUAAUCUCUUUAGCAUGUUUAACAAUAUCAAUUGGUGACAAAGACAGCAAAGUAAUGUUCUUAUUCUUAUGUAUGAAAGUGUAUGUAUUAGUUCUACCAUGGUGUAAAGCAUCAGUAUCAAAUUCUCAUGGACGUCCUAACAAAAUUGAACAAGCUUGCAUAGGCACAACAUCAAAAUCAGCAGUAUCAUGAUAACAACCUGUGAAGAAACUAAUGCGGGCUGAUUUAGUUACCUUUGUCUUACCACUAUUAUUGAACCUGUUGACACCGUUUUUGGACACGUUGUUGACGGUCCUUAAGUAUCAAAUUUAAUUAACAAAUAAACAAAGAAAAGGAUCCAAAUGAAAUAAAGAUCUAGACUUAGGGUUUUAUCUGACAGAAUUCCACGAGUUUUGGUGUUUGUCUAUUUCUGCAGGGGGUUAUCAGGAAAUAUGGAAGAAAGGCCCACAUGUCAGGAUUACGUAAAGAUAUUAACGUGCUGCGCAAUUAUUUUACAUCUAGAAGACUCCAGAAGCCACGAGACCGAAGCGGAGGCAAAACGGGGCCAGACCCUGGGCGGCCGCCCAGUUGGUCAGGGCGCCCGCCCAGUUGGUCAGGGCGCCCGCCCUGCCCCUGAGUCCAAUCAGGACUCUGCUUUGCGGGAAGUCUCCACCGACCUAAAGGAUGAAUCUAAACCAUACAAUCUAUGUCGGUUUGAUCCAAGGGCCCAUAUUCACUUGAAGGGACUAUAAAACCAGACCCCCUGGCCCCUGGAGGAGAGAGCCUCUCAACCCUAAUUCAUUGUUCCAUCAAGGGAGAAGAAGCCUCUGAUCAAGAUUAGAGCCACCACAUCAAUUAGAUAUCUAGAUUAGCAUAGCUACAUAGGAUUAGAACUAGAAGGAGUCAAUCUUCGAUUGGUUUCCGGAUCUGUCAGGAGGAUUCUUGGUAAUUCUCUAAUUGUGUUUCUAAUUGCUUUCUAAUUAUCUUUGUUCUUCAAUAUUAUGAAUAUGACUUUGUUCUACUUCAAUAUAUUGCUUAUGACUUUGCUCUAUUUGCUUAUAUUCAAGAUUAUAUUGUUCUUAGUUUGUCAUAGUUAUGUACUUGGCUUAGUUAGAUACGAUCUAUAUACAUGCUUAGGAUCGUAUAGCGUUUAUCCAUCGGAUCCAUGGGUAAAUGAUAGAUAUUGUGUAGGCGUGGUGCUUAUACCGUAUUUAUCUGCGAUUGUACCCAAUAUGCCAGAUCGUGGGGUAGUUCGUGAUAGUGAUAGCUUCAUUGAUUCUUAUAUAGUCCCCCUCUCGUGUAUUGGGCUGGCAGAGCAACAUUAUUACAGGGGAGUGAUUGCUAUGUUUCUCAUAUUCCUUGCUAAUAUCACUAUGCAUGGGCGUAGUCUUGUCUCGCAAUGAUUGCUAAGUAUGCUUGCACUGACUAUGAUAUGCUAGACUAUAUAGUUAAGAAUAACUUAGGGAAUAUUCUUGUAGUUCGUUCUAAUACCAUGCUAAUGACUUUCUAGAGUAUCUAAUUGAGGUGCUUAUCAUAUUUAUUAUGUGGCUAGAUCAGAUUAGUUAUCCUUGUCACUAUUAUCAUUUCAUAUAUCUUUUAUGUGACACUUAUCCCUGUAUGAAGAGUUAGAUAUAAUGUUCUCAAUUAUACAUGCAAUGAUAGAUACUCAAUCUCCUAUUCUAUUCUGUAAUCAAUAGUGAUGAUUGAUUAAUCCCUUCCCAGUGGUAAAAAUAUAAAUAACGAUACCUGGAAUACUUCCCGGUUAAAAUGCUGCAUCGGUAUUAAUCUGUGCGCUUGCAGAUCCCAUUCAUUAUUUAUUUAGAAGAGCAAUUGCAUAUUUCAAUACCGCGUCUCUUAUGUCAUACUGGGGAUGACAACUUGGCUUAAGUGGUGUGAGGGAUAGGUUUGGCAUUUUUGGCACCGUUGCUAGAUUUAGAACUUAGUCUACUUUUGGUAAUGAUGUUAAGAAUACCCAACAAGCAUCUUUGGCGCCGUUGCUGGGGAAGGUUGAUUACCAAUCAGGAAUGGAAUAAAAGAUUUUGAGUUAUCAUUCGCAUCACUAAUAUGAUUGAGCUUAUCUAUUCUCUUAUACAGUUUUACCCCGAUAUUUUUCUAUUUUAUCUAUGCAGGGGAAUGUAUGAAUAGAAGACAUCUUCCAGGGAAUUUUGUUGACGAUCCUGAAGCAUUAUUCAAGAAGACGAGGGCCAAGCUAAAGAAAUCAUCAACACUUCACGAAGAAGCUUCAUCCAAUCAAGAAGAUCACCGGAACUUGUCUUCAGAGUUCGAAGUCAUGGCGAACAAAUCAAUCCGCGAGUUCUCAGCUCCCACUACGGACAACAUCCGCACUGGACCUGCUGCAGAGAUCGAUGGCAACUUUGAGCUCAAGCCUGGACUUAUCAACAUGGUGCAAUCCAAUCAGUUCUGUGGGAAGGCACAUGAAGAUGCUAGUGCUCAUUUACAACACUUCCUGGAGAUUUGCAACACAUUCACCAUAGCUGGAGUUUCCAAAGACGCUAUAUUACUUCGCCUCUUCCCAUUCUCACUGUUAGGAAGAGCGAAGCAGUGGUUCUACGCUACAAAGGAAAAGAAUACUACGUGGACACUCUGCUCAACAAACUUCCUAGCUAAGUUGUUUCCCAUGGGCAAGACCAAUGCUCUCCGUGGGAAGAUUACAAGUUUUCAGCAACAAAAUGAUGAAUCUGUUCCAGAAGCAUGGGAGCGCUUUCAAGACUACAUCCUAGAAUGUCCCCAUCAUGGAAUGGAGAGUUGGCUAUUGAUGCAGACAUUCUAUCAUGGGCUCAGCAACAGUGCCCGAGAGACCAUGGAUGCUGCAGCGGGAGGAGCAUUCUUAUCACUUACUAUACCACAAGCCACAGCUCUUGUGGAGAAGAUGGCGUCCAAUCAAAGCUGGAAUGAAGAGAGGACCCAGACACGCAAGAGAGGUGGAGGUAUGCAUCAGCUGAAGGAGGUAGACAUGUUGUCUGCAAAGCUAGACCUGCUCAUGAAGAAGCUCGAUGAUAAAGCUGGAGACAAGAAAGAAGUUAUGCACAUCUACGACUCUCACAUGACUUCUGAGGAGUGUGGAGACACUGGACACUCAGGCAACCACUGCCCUGAGAUACUUGAGGAUGUGAACUACAUCAACAACAACAACUACUACUACAACCGUCCUCAACAAAAUCAAGGUUGGAAUCAACAGAGGCCUAACUGCUCAGGUAAUUAUCAAGGUAACAAUUCUUACAACAAUAAUAAUAAUUUUCCACCUUUGAGAGAGUUAGUGUCUAAUCAAGGUAAGCUAAUGGAUAACCUAUCUAUGAAAUUGGCAUCUAAUGAUAAAAUGCUAGAAAAUAUAAAUAAUAGAAUGGAUAAUUUCUCUACUGCCAUCAAGAAUCAAAUUAGCUUUAAUAAAAUGAUUGAAUCUCAGUUAAAUCAAAUAGCUGCUGCUGUUCCUACUACUAACCCCGGUAUACAUCACAACCGGAAGGAUUAGAAUCUGCAAAUCUUGUAGACAUGUUUGAUGCAGGUAAUUGGAGUAACCCUGUCACUAAAUUCUCUACUGACCAUCUGCCGGUCAAGAGAGGCGAUCCAGGACGCCCCGUCAUCCCGAUCUCCAUCGGCAUGGUGGACGUCCCAGAAGCACUCUGCGACUUUGGCUCUAGCGUCAACAUUAUACCCAGGUACUCUAUGAAAAAUUCUUUACAUAUCCUUUAUUAGAGACAACCAUGUGUUUGUAGUUUGCAGAUCAGACGAUAACUUUUCCAAAAGGAAUAGUGAAGAACCUUUGUGUCCGAGUUGGUACCUUAUAUGCCCCAGCAAACUUCGUAGUGGUAGAGACCGGAAAUGAUGAGAGAGCACCUAUCAUCCUAGGGAGGCCAUUUUUGAACACCACGGGAGCUAUCAUCUACGCCAGUGCUGCCAAGAUCAGUUUCUACGUCAAAGGGAAGAAGGAGACAUUUUUCUUCAAGAACAGGACUACACAAAUUCCAGAUCAAUCCAGACGUAAAUCAAGGAAGAGGACCAACAGGAGAAACAGGAACAAGCAAGUGUGGACCGAGUCAGCAAAGAUGGCCACUACAGUUCAUAAAGGUCAAGAUCAUCAACUUAAGUCACCAUUUUUGACCAAGAAGGACGACCCAGGAAUGCCAAGCAUCUAUUGCUCAAUAAAUGGAUACAACUUCUACAAAACAAUUUGCGACACCGGAUCGGGCGUCAACAUAAUGGCCACAGUCACCUAUUGGCUCUUGUUCGGGACCAUGCCACUAAGACCAACAUACAUUCAGCUCCAGAUGGCAGAUCAGACAUUUCGAGAAGUUCAAGGAAUAGUAUCUGAUGUCCCAGUCAAAAUAGACGAUCAUUUUGUCUACACAGACUUUCAAGUUGUUGACAUGGGAGAAGACGAGUAUGAUCCACCCAUCAUCCUUGGAAGACCGUUCCUCAGCACCGUUAAAGCCAUUAUCUACAUUGGAACUGGAGAAGUCCAUAUGCACUUCCCCUCAGAGAAGGUACGCAGUUAUUUUACUGACCCUAACUAUAUUGUUGAAGAAACUAAGCAGGUCAGAAAGAGACGCAACCGCAACCAGAGGAGGCAGAUCAUCAAGGACGGAUGGGCAGACUAUGAAGGAGAAGUUGUAAGGUCAGAAGACGUAGAGUUUAAACAGAAUUAUCCAGAGGAGAUUGAAGCACCGAGUCAGGUGUGGAAAAUGAAGAUAACUAUACAAGAAGAGGAGGCGCUGCCGGAAGUACCGACUACGCCACCCAACGAACCUCAGGACGAUUAAGAAAUUGGAGAGUCCCGUUCGGAGGACUUAAAAACACCGAACGCCUUGCCAAGAGGUAAACUUGGUAGUUAUCCUUUCCUUUUCAAUUAUUUUAAAUAGUUUACUUAGUUAAUCAUAUUCAUACUAUCUUAAAAAAAUAAAAGAAAAUAAAAAUGUGAAAAACAGUAAGCCCCAUGUGAGUAGACGAGUGGCAUAAAAACCAUAAGUACAUUCACUGUGGUGGCAUAAAAAUAAAAUAAAUAUUUUUCUGCUUUAUAAAAAUAAAAAUAAAAAUAUAAAAACAGGGAGUAAUAAUUAUUAAGGAGUCUCAAGAUGAUAAAGGCUAGAUAUUUAUGCUAACACUUAAUCAGUUCCACAAGCUUUGUUGACUAUUUGAGCUCCACAGAAUUUAAGAAUCAAGAAGACUAGCAGACAGAGGACAUUCUAAUCGCUGUCAGAAUGCUGCUUUCAAAUACACCUCUGCCACCUGCUAGCUACAUCAAGAGAAAUUACGUCAAAAUUCAGCUUGGGGGAGAGCACCCCCAUUUAUCUCGAUAAGUAUUUCUAUCUAUCUAUCUUUAUAUUUAUUUUAGAAUAUUAAUACACAUAAACUAUGGGAAAACCAAAUAAAGAUUUUAUGCUUAUAUAUAUUACUUAGUGUGUUUAAUUAAUAAAUAAAGUGGCUAUGCUAAUCUGUAUCUAAUAAAACUUAAUCAUGGAUAUGAUGAAUAGUUGCUCUGCCUAAUUUGCACAUUUUAAGUUCUCUCUCAAGUUUAGACAUAACUGUUAUAAUUUAAAGCUUGCCCUAGACCUAAACUUGUGGGAUGAAAACUUGAUCUGAAGUCUAAGUUGUUAACGGAUACGAUAUAGGAUUGUUGAGCUGCUGUUUAUCUGUUCCUAGAGAUGCUAGAAUUCUGGAGAAUUUAUCUUUGAAAAUCUUUAAAAUGUUGCAUGAUGAGUUCCUGUAUGAUGAGAGCUUAAAUUCCUACCACAGCCAUAUAUACAUGCUUGCUAGACCUUGAGCCACACAUUUAUUAUUUACUGCUUAUGAGCAUUGAGUGUGGUCAAGCUGUGUAGACCCUUAGGAGCUUGUCAUGUGGUUAAAUCAAGAUUUCACUUGCACGUUCACUCAUAUAUGCCACUUCUACUCCGGAAGUACCAUCCACAUACAUCCACCCAUUCCAUCUCCAGAACCACCUGAAAAUAUUCUACUCCUAAUCCGGGAGAGAAUAACCAAAAAUAUUUUCUAUUUUCCCCUUUGUGAAAUAAAUGCUCAAGUUAUCUUGUUACUACCACUUGCUAUAUUAUCUCAAGAGAUGAAUGCUCUAAAAAAAAGAGAGAGAGAGAAGAAUAAUACGAGGAAAUAAAAAGGAGCAAGUGCUCGGAACCUCGAAAGAAAAGAAAAAGUGAGACGAGAGGUAAAAAUGGACAAGUGUCCGACAGUAGAAUUAGGGGUACAAGAUACCCACCUGAGAGAAAAGAAAAAGAAGAGCAUCUCAUUCUCCUCAUAAAGUUUCAAAAGCAAGGAAGGUAUGUAUCCCCUCAGAAGAGCAAAGUAGAAUUAGACUUUCACCACCAUUGUUUUCACCAUUGUUUUCACCAUUGUUAUCACCAUCAUCACCAUAUACCAUUCAUUCACCACACAUGCACAUCUUGAUUAAACUUAUUGACUUGUUACUUUGGAUCCAUGGUUUGACUAUGCAAUACAUGUCUUGUAAGUAUGUAUAUUUUAUCUCCCACCUAUGAGCUCCAGAUAUUAAAGCCUUAUUAGAGUAGGAUGAGAGAGAAGGCAAUGUUACUAUGCCUCAUACCACAAAUACCACAUAUCUUGAGAGAAGGCAUAUACUAUCAAUGCCUUGGUAAGGAUCCAAAAAUACCACAAAAGAGAGACCUGAGAGAAUCAUACAAGGAAUUCUGAGUUUUAUUUGAAAAUCUCCAAAAAUCCCAGAGCUAUAGCUGAUCAAGAAUAAGAGACAUGGCACUUGGCUAGACUGUUCUAUCUUUUAACCACUCAAGACAGAAGUGACAGUUACAAGUCCCAUGGUGAAGGUAAAGUAAGUAAGUUUUAAGUCUUGACAGUUUACUCUAACUCAGAGAUGAGAUCUUAUUUAAGAGCAUGUGUACCGUCAAAUUUUUAAAGAUAUUGCAGCAACUUCUGAUCCAUAGCUGAGUCUAUCCUUGCUCAGGGACGAGCAAGAGGUAAGCUUGGGGGAGUUUGUUGACGGUCCUUAAGUAUCAAAUUUAAUUAACAAAUAAACAAAGAAAAGGAUCCAAAUGAAAUAAAGAUCUAGACUUAGGGUUUUAUCUGACAGAAUUCCACGAGUUUUGGUGUUUGUCUAUUUCUGCAGGGGGUUAUCAGGAAAUAUGGAUGAAAGGCCCACAUGUCAGGAUUACAUAAAGAUAUUAACGUGCUGCGCAAUUAUCUUACAUCUAGAAGACUCCAGAAGCCACGAGACCGAAGCGGAGGCAAAACGGGGCCAGACCCUGGGCGGCCGCCCAGUUGGUCAGGGCGCCCGCCCUGCCCCUGAGUCCAAUCAGGACUCUGCUUUGCGGGAAGUCUCCACCGACCUAAAGGAUGAAUCUAAACCAUACAAUCUAUGUCGGUUUGAUCCAAGGGCCCAUAUUCACUUGAAGGGACUAUAAAACCAGACCCCCUGGCCCCUGGAGGAGAGAGCCUCUCAACCCUAAUUCAUUGUUCCAUCAAGGGAGAAGAAGCCUCUGAUCAAGAUUAGAGCCACCACAUCAAUUAGAUAUCUAGAUUAGCAUAGCUACAUAGGAUUAGAACUAGAAGGAGUCAAUCUUCGAUUGGUUUCCGGAUCUGUCAGGAGGAUUCUUGGUAAUUCUCUAAUUGUGCUUCUAAUUGCUUUCUAAUUAUCUUUGUUCUUCAAUAUUAUGAAUAUGACUUUGUUCUACUUCAAUAUAUUGCUUAUGACUUUGCUCUAUUUGCUUAUAUUCAAGAUUAUAUUGUUCUUAGUUUGUCAUAGUUAUGUACUUGGCUUAGUUAGAUACGAUCUAUAUACAUGCUUAGGAUCGUAUAGCGUUUAUCCAUCGGAUCCAUGGGUAAAUGAUAGAUAUUGUGUAGGCGUGGUGCUUAUACCGUAUUUAUCUGCGAUUGUACCCAAUAUGCCAGAUCGUGGGGUAGUUCGUGAUAGUGACAGCUUCAUUGAUUCUUAUAUAGUCCCCCUCUCGUGUAUUGGGCUGGCAGAGCAACAUUAUUACAGGGGAGUGAUUGCUAUGUUUCUCAUAUUCCUUGCUAAUAUCACUAUGCAUUGGCGUAGUCUUGUCUCUCAAUGAUUGCUAAGUAUGCUUGCACUGACUAUGAUAUGCUAGACUAUAUAGUUAAGAAUAACUUAGGGAAUAUUCUUGUAGUUCGUUCUAAUACCAUGCUAAUGACUUUCUAGAGUAUCUAAUUGAGGUGCUGGUCAUAUUUAUUAUGUGGCUAGAUCAGAUUAGUUACCCUUGUCACUAUUAUCAUUUCAUAUAUCUUUUAUGUGACACUUAUCCCUGUAUGAAGAGUUAGAUAUAAUGUUCUCAAUUAUACAUGCAAUGAUAGAUACUCAAUCUCAUAUUCUAUUCUGUAAUCAAUAGUGAUGAUUGAUUAAUCCCUUCCCAGUGGUAAAAAUAUAAAUAACGAUACCUGGAAUACUUCCCGGUUAAAUUGCUGCAUCGGUAUUAAUCUGUGCGCUUGCAGAUCCCAUUCAUUAUUUAUUUAGAAGAGCAAUUGCAUAUUUCAAUACCGCGUCUCUUAUAUCAUGCUGGGGAUGACAACUUGGCUUAAGUGGUGUGAGGGAUAGGUUUGGCAUUUUUGGCACCGUUGCUAGAUUUAGAACUUAGUCUACUUUUGGUAAUGAUGUUAAGAAUACCCAACACACGUAUAUGGGAGUUAAUGAGGUGUAGAUCGGCAGGCGAAUAAAAUGGUGACUAGUUGAUAGAGGAGUUGCAGAUAAGGGUUGAUACCGAUGAUAAAACAACAGAAUGUGGUCAAGUCCAGGAGCGGUGAUGGAUCUGUGUCGAUGACUGAUGCUGAUGGUUGUCGAUGGCUACGAAAUGUGAUUUGCUGAUGGACACAAAAGGAGGCGCAGGGAUUGUCGAUCAGAUGGUGAUUUUGUGCCGAUCAGUUGUGGUAGAUAGAUUAAUGUUUUCCAUAGUUGUUAGAGUUUGGUUUGCAUAUGGAUUCCGUUCAAUUUGGAAUUUGAGUCCUAGUCAUGUCUGAUUGUAACCCAUUGGGCAAGGUAUAAAUAUAAGACCCCGUAGCGAUGUAGGAUACACACAAUCAAUCAAACAUAAGUUUUUACAUUUAAUCCAGCAUCUACUUUUUCGACGACUUCGUCAACUCGCAUAUUUUCUUUUUACUUACGAGUUCUUAGGAAUUCAUCGAGUCAAUCUCGACGAAUUCUCAAGUUCUGCGUGAAUAACUCUUAGCCGUGACAUCUGGGCGCAUCGCUGUUGUCAUGACCAAAGUAUUCGAGUUAUCACCUUUGUCGAUUGCAAGGUCAAAACGGCUGGCACGCCUUAACGUUGAAUCGGGUAUUAGCCCUUUGUGUUUGCAGAUCUACUUUUGCACCAACAUAUCUUUUGGCAUGCCCAGUGGGACAGAGAUUCAAUAUCAAGAUCAACAGGUCGAACACCAAUUUCGACUUGGAGAACGUCAUCCCCGUCACGGAAGCCAAUCUCAGAGAUGAACAGAAGCAAGCUAUGGCAAAAGCUAUGGAGGACUACAAGCAGCUAUGGAGGACUACAAGUAGCUAUGCUUAAAAUCCUUCAGUAUCAACAGGAGCAGUGAGGCAAUCCAGAAGGAAUCAUUGCCGAUGCCUCGGCAGAUUACUUUUGAAGCCAAUCCUGGUAAACUACAAGAGAUGGUUGAUAGUGCUGUCAAUCGUGCUCUAAUCAAUCAAUCUGGUGUGCUGUCCAAUACGGUUUUCAAUGUUGUGGCUAGAAUUUUCAAAGAAGGACAAAUACCACCAUCUCAUGUGGGCCCUGCCUAUCAUCAGCCAGGAUCAUCAUCGGUUAUGGCUCCAUCGGCUACUACAGCCGUUGAGGGUACGGAAGUUACUUCUCCUCCAAGCACAUUAGGGAUGACUAAUGCGCAAUCUACAUCGAUAGUGACAAAUCCAUAAACAUCAGAGGAACAGGUGAUAUGACCACGCCACCAAGCAAGAUGUCACAACCUCCAAGUCAAGCUACACCCACUCAAGUUUCACCUACACCGACACAAGCCCAAGUCAUCGAUGGACCGAUUACACGUAGUCGUGCAAAGAAGCUACAACAAGAGGUCCACGCGCUACUUUGUGAGAUUCAUUUUAACAUUAAUGAGAAUUAUAUACUACCUUAGUGUUGCACCUUGAUUAUACUCAGGUAUAUAGCAGAAGAGAAGGAUGAAUCGGACCCUGAAGAACGGACCAGUGCAAGUUCCAAAAGAAGUCAAAAAUAGACCAGUGGAAGUCAAAAACGGACCAGUGCAAAUAAAUCUUCCUAACUUUUUACUCACAAAAGGUAUGAAGGUCCAUGAGCACUUGUUGGGAAGCUUGACGAGUCUACUUUCCAAUGAAUCUAGUGGCGACCAGUUUGGACACACCAUAUUGCCUGCAGACCAGAAUUAGUAUAGACUGCUCAGAAGGUCAACAGUCUGUCGUGACAGAAUGUUGGUACAACUUGCCGAGUAAAACUGUACGAAUCUACAAUGUUUCGUGCUGUUUGGCAUACAUUGCUGGAAAGCCCUUUGAGUCUAGUUUCACAACCAAGAAUGCUUCAUCAUUUGGACUUCCCAAUAAAAAGUUAUGGUCAGUUUAUUGGAAACUGCUCUGGAGGCCAACAAUCAUGCGAAGCCACUUCGGGAAUCCAUUUCGAGGGGACCUUUCACAUUGCCUUCCAUCAGAAACUCUAUUUCGUUUUCGUACCUAUCUAGCAGGGUUGUUGCUAGUAUAAAUACCCUCUAAGACUCAUUAUAAUCUCACACUUUUGAUAAUUGAAAUACAGAACCCUUUUGUUCAGUUGCGUGCUAACAAAUUCAGAGAGUGAUCUCUACCCCUUUGCUCUUGUGAUUUCCUCGCGGGAUUACAUAGGCGGCAGCUUCAUCCGCUCCCAAUUGGUGCUCCUACUCCCUUCAAAGUAUUCCUUGAUUGAUUGUAGGCUGUGUUGGUUGGUUCUUUGAGAGUGUGGUUGGGCGAAUCCUCGAUUCAGGUUGCCGGUUAAAGACGGUGGUUGGCUUCGAGUUUUAUUUGCCAGGUUGCACUAGUUAUCGCUGCUUGCAGCGAGUUAUCCGGCUGUUCUUCAGCUAGUUAUCGGUGUUCUUCCUAUGUUGUGAAGAUCGAGACAACGUGUCGCAUCAUCUGGUAUCAAAGCUUUUGUUACCACGGUAGGAAUUUUAUCCCUAGCUACAUAUAUAUUUUGCUUUGUCCUAUCCACCAAAAAGCCAGAAAAAUAUAUUUCUUAGACCUUUGUUUCAAUCUGUUAUUUUAGUGAGUUUGGUUAAGUCGCAGUCCAUUAGAGUCUUUGUUUUAGUUGCUGAUCAUUUAUCCUUCGUGUGUUCUUUGUGCCUCUUUUAUAUCUAAAAAUCCCCACAAAAAAAAUCUCUAUAGCCUAUGUCAUCCUUUGUGUUAACUUUGAUCCUAUCUAGCUACUGGUUGUUGUUUUAUUUCUGUCUUUAGUUGUGCAAGUAUCAUAAUCUGAUCCCUAUUUUGAGUUCUAUAUAUAAAAAAAAGUGUGUCACAAAAAAAAGAAAAGAAAGUGCAAAAAAAGUGGAGUGAAAAAAAAAAAGUUGAGAAAGGUUCAGAGAGAAAGUCUGAAAGAUUAGUUGGUUUAUGUGCACAAGUGUUGAAAGUUUCAUAUCAAGUUCUGCAACCAGUUUGCUAUCUUUGUGUGGUGCAAAACUUUGGUUGUGUAAAAUUGCAACACUUGCAUCCCAAUCAUACUCCUUGUUUGCAUCAAUUUUGAAAUUUCUUUGCGUGUGUGUGAUCUAUUUAUACACUUCGAAUCUUUUGAUCAGCACUAGGAAGAGAACUUCUAGUUUGGAUCGUUACUUAACUUUAUAACAACUAGAAUUUAGAUUGCAUUCCUUGUGUAUUACUCCCCACCAAGCUCCACAUAAAAACCAUCGUAAUCGGUACUUUCUGUUCUUGUAUUCGCCUCGCCAUCACUUUCAAUUGCCACCACACAUUUGUUUUCCUUGUAAUCUACAGCAGAAGAAUUCAUAAGAGCUUUGGUGGUUAGAGAGGUGAGUUGUGAGGGCCACCAAAUUUUCAUAUUCCACAAAUACAAAUUUUUUGUAUUCAGCUAACCUUACAGGAAGAUGGGUGAUGGAAUAGAGGAUUGUGUUACUUUGGCACAAUUUAAUGAACUCCGACAAAGCAUAGAAGAAAAGCAAGAUAGGUUGACACAAGAUCUUCAGAACCUUAUGACUGAAAUCAGAAGGCGUCGCCAACCUCAUGAUGGAGCAAGCAACCAUGGUGAAGAUGGAGAUAUGAGUGAUAGAAGUGCUGCUAGUAGAAGCUCAAGGGAACAAGGAAGGAGGAACCGAGGUAGGGGAAGAGGUCAAGGUCGAAGAAAUCAUGAUAAUGAAGAAUCUGAAAAAGAGGAUGAUGAUGAUCAUUCUCAAUAUCGAUAUGGUCGCUGACAUCAUAGAAGAGGCAAUCAUAAGGAGAGGCUGGGAAAACUAAAGUUUACCAUGCCAAAGUUUGAUGGUGGGUCUGAUCCUGAAGCUUAUUUCACUUGAGAGCUGAAAGUGGAUAAAGUCUUUCGCUUGCAUAAUUAUUCAGAAGAGAAGAAGCUGGCAAUGGCAUCUCUAGAGUUUGAAGGAUAUGCUCUGAUAUGGUGGGAGCAGCUCCUCAGUGAUCGUGAAGAAGAUGGAAGACAUCCUAUUGCAAGUUGGGAUGAAAUGAAGAGAGAAAUGAGAAGUCGUUUUGUGCCGAAGCACUAUCGGCGUGAUCUUUUUGAUACAUUGCAGAAUUUGAAGCAAGGAAGUCUCUCUGUUGAAGAGUAUUAUAAGGAUAUGGAGAAAUCUAUGAUUAGAGCCAAUGUGUAUGAAGAUGAAGAGCAAACUAUUGCACAUUUUAUGGCUGGGCUGCAUCGCAAUAUUCAGCGCAUUGUUGAGUUUCAGCCAUACCGUCAUCUUAUUGAUUUGGUACAUCAAGCAACCAAAGCUGAACGUCAAUUGCAGCAAGAUGCUUAGAGCAGCAAGUCCUUGUCCUUUGGUAUGAGGAACUUCUCUAGAGGAAGCAAAUCAAUCACCAAGUUUUCUGCUGAACCAUCCAUGGUGAAAGGCUCAAGUGGAGGCUCACGAUCUAAUUUUCAGGGUACUUUUAGUGGAAAGAACACUGUUGUCCCAAGUUCAAAACCAGCAGCAUCAAACACUACUUCAGCGGGUUCCACUUCCAAGAGUAGUGAAAUUCAGUGCUUCAAGUGUGGAUACCGUGGACAUGUAUCAAGAGAGUGUCCAAAUAAUCAUGUGGUCAUUGUGAAUGAUAGUGGAGAAUUUGAAUCAGCUAGUAAAGAGGAAGCUGAGGAAGAACAUGUUGGUGAGGCCCAUCAAGAUGAGGAACAUACUGGCUGUAAAUUUGAGCAUGGUGCUGCUCUUAUGGUGACUCAAAUCUUGAGUGUUAAAAUGAAAGAAGCUGAAAAUGGGCAGCGACAUAAUUUAUUUCAAACUAGUGCAAAGGUACAUGAUAAGGUGGUGAAGGUGAUUAUUGAUGGAGGGAGCUGCCAUAAUCUUGCUAGUCGUGAGAUGGCUGAUAAACUUGGCCUGAAGCUGCUACGACACCCUCAUCCAUAUUAUGUACAGUGGCUGAAUGAUUCGGGAGAUAUCAAGAUUGGAUAUAAAGUAAAUGUUCCAUUCAAAAUUGGUGAAUAUGUUGACACAGUAGAGUGUGAUGUGGCGCCUAUGUCGGUGUGUCACUUGCUGCUUGGAAGGCCAUGGCAAUAUGAUCGAUAUAGCCCACAUUAUGGGAGAACAAAUCAGUUUACUAUCAAUCUAACAGGGAAGAAGCUUGUUCUCAAGCCUAUGACGCCCCAACAAAUCAUGGCUGAACAUUUAUAAAAGAAAUCUGAAAUUGUUUCAGUGAGUAGAGAGGAAGGAGAGCAAAAGAAAUUGAGUGCCAUCCACAAUUCGGUGAGUGAGUGCCACAAGCCAAAUUUGAGGGAGAAAAAGAAAGGAGAGGGAGAGAAUUUAGUCAUGCUAGCCACAAUAUCUGAAAUGAGAGAAGUGAGGAACAACCCUGAACAAGUGCUCUUUGUACUUGUGUACAAAGAUAUUUUAAUUUCAGCUAACGACAUGACCUCUCUUCCUAGUGUUGUGUCUCAUCUUUUGCAAGACUAUGGAGAUGUCUUUCCAGAAGAAACACUGACAGGACUACCUCCAAUUCGUGGGAUUGAGCAUCAAAUUGAUCUCAUUCCAGGGGCUGCACUACCUAAUCGACCACCAUACCGAACCAAUCCAGAAGAAACAAAAGAGAUACAAAGGCAAGUGCAAGAACUUCUUGAUAAAGGUUUUGUUCGUGAAAGUUUAAGUCCUUGUGCUGUUCCUAUAAUUUUAGUACCUAAGAAAGAUGGUUCUUGGAGAAUGUGUGUUGAUUGUAGAGCUAUAAAUAACAUCAUUGUUCGCUAUCGCCAUCAUAUCCCACAUUUAGAUGACAUGCUUGAUGAAUUAAGUGGUUCCACCAUAUUCACUAAAAUUGAUUUGAGAAGUGGAUACCAUCAGAUAAGAAUGAAAAUAGGGGAUGAAUGGAAAACUGCAUUUAAAAUAAAAUUUGGGCUGUAUGAAUGGUUUGUUAUGCCUUUUGUUUUAACUAAUGCUCCUAGUACUUUCAUGAGAUCAAUGAACCAUGUCUUGAGAGCUUUCAUUAGAAAAUUUGUUGUUGUCUACUUCGAUGAUAUCUUAAUUUACAGCAAGUCUUUUGAGGAACACGUGAAUCAUAUUCGACAAGUCUUGGAAGAGCUUAGAAAGGAGAAAUUAUUUGCUAAUCUUGAGAAGUGCAGUUUUUGCACAGACCAUGUUGUGUUUCUUGGCUUUGUUGUUUCAGGAAAGGGCAUAGAAGUGGAUGAAAGCAAGGUGAAAGCCAUCAAGGAUUGGCCAACUCCAACAAAUGUAAGUCAAGUAAGAAGUUUUCAUGGCCUUGCUGGUUUUUAUAGGAGGUUUAUGAGAGAUUUCAGUACCAUCGCUGCUACUUUGAAUGAAUUGACAAAGAAAGGUGUUGACUUUAAUUGGGAAAAAUCACAACAAAAUGCAUUUCAAGAAUUAAAGAAACGUUUGACUGAAGCACCUGUACUUGUUCUUCCUGAUUUUACUAAAACUUUUGAAAUAGAAUGUGAUGCUAGUGGAAUUGGGAUAGGAGGAGUUUUAAUGCAACAAGGAAAACCUGUAGCAUAUUUUAGUGAAAAACUAGGAGGUGCUCAACUGAAUUAUUCUGUGUAUGAUAAAGAAUUAUAUGCUUUGGUGCGUGUGCUUUAAACAUGGCAACACUACUUAUGGCCAAAAGAAUUUGUUAUUCACUCUGAUCAUGAAGCUUUGAAGUACUUGAAAGGACAAGCAAAACUGAACCGUCGUCAUGGCAAAUGAGUUGAGUUCAUCGAAACAUUUCCAUACAUUGUGAAAUAUAAGAAAGGUAAGGAUAAUGUUGUUGCUGAUGCUCUGUCACGAAAGAGUGUGUUGCUAAACCAACUUGAGGUAAAGGUUUUGGGACUUGAUAGUUUGAAAGAACUGUACAGUAAUGACCCUGAUUUUUCAGAACCAUAUAAUCAUUGUAAAAAUGGAAAAGGUUGGGUAAAGUAUCAUAUACAUGAUGGAUUUUUCUUUAGAGCUAACAAAAUAUGUGUUCCAAAUUCUUCGGUUAGAUUGCUUUUGUUGCAGGAGUCUCAUGGGGGAGGAUUGACAGGCCAUUUUGGACAAAGGAAAACUAUGAGCUGCUAGAAGAUCAUUUUUAUUGGCCCAAGAUGAGAAGAUAUGUCAUCAGAUUCGUGGAGCGAUGCGUUAGUUGUCACAAAGCUAAGUCUAAACUGAACCCUCAUGGUUUAUAUACUCCUUUACCUACUCCUAAAACUCCUUGGGAAGACAUAAGCAUGGAUUUUGUCUUGGGAUUGCCAAGAACUCAGAAAGGAAAAGAUUCAAUUUUUGUUGUGGUUGAUAGAUUUUGAAAGAUGGCUCGUUUUAUUCCUUGUAACAAGAGCGACAAUGCUUCACAUAUUGCUAAUUUGUUCUUCAGGGAAAUUGUGCGGCUGCAUGGAAUGCCUAGAACCAUUGUAUCUAAUCAUGAUGUCAAGUUUGUGAGCUAUUUUUGGAAAACAUUAUGGGCAAGGCUUGGUACCAAGCUUUUGUUCUCCACCACUUUUCACCCUCAAACCGAUGGACAAACUGAAGUGGUGAAUCGCACAUUGUCAAUGUUGCUGCGAACUAUGGUGAAAAAGAACCUGAUGGUUUGGGAGGAAUGCUUGCCACAUGUGGAGUUUGCAUAUAACAGGGCAGUACACUCUACCACUAAUAUGUGUCCUUUUGAAAUUGUAUAUGGGUUCAAACCUAUUGCUCCUAUAGAUUUGUUGCCCCUUCCAUUGCAGGAAAGAACUAAUAUGGAAGCCUCCAAGUGUGCUGCAUACAUCUAGAAGGUACACGAGAAGACCAAGGAAGCAAUUGAACUCAAGGCAGGACGUAAGGCUGCAAAUAUGAACAAACAUAGGAAGAAGGUGUUAUUCGAACCCGGGGACUUGGUGUGGAUACACUUGCGCCAGGAUCGCUAUCCUCAGCAGCGCAAAUCAAAAUUGCUGCCACGAGGAGAUGGUCCAUUUUGUGUUCUUGAGAAGAUCAAUGACAAUGCAUACAAGAUUGAUCUUCCUGCAAGUUAUGGCGUGAGCAACUCCUUCAAUGUUGCUGAUCUCUCACCAUUCACAAGUGAAGACACUUUAGAGUCAAGGACGACUCCUUUUCAAGGGGGGAGGAUGAUAUGACCACGCCACCAAGCAAGAUGUCACAAGCUCCAAGUCAAGCUACACCCACUCAAGUUUCACCUACACCGACACCAGCCCAAGUCAUCGAUGGACCGAUUACACGUAGUCAUGCAAAGAAGCUACAACAAGAGGUCUACGCGCUACUUUGUGAGAUUCAUUUUAACAUUAAUGAGAAUUAUAUACUACCUAAGUGUUGUACCUUGAUUGUACUCAGGUAUAUAGAAGAAGAGAAGGAUGAAUCGGACCCUGAAGAACGGACCAGUGCAAGUUCCAGAAGAAGUCAGAAACAGACCAGUGGAAGUCAAAAACGGACCAGUGCAAAGAAAUCUUCAUUACUUUUUACUCACAAAAGCUAUGAAGGUCCAUGAGCAGUUGUUGGAAACCUUGACAAGUCUACUUUCCAAUGAAUCUUGUGGCGACCAGUUUGGAUACUCCAAAUUGCCUGCAGAUCAGAAUUAGUAUAGACUGCUCAGAAAGUCAACAGUCUGUCAUGACAGAAUGUUGGUACAACUUGCCAAGUAAAACUGUACUAAUCUACAAUGUUUUGUGCUGGUUGGCAUACAUUGCUGGAAAGCCCUUUGAGUCUAGUUUCACAUCCAAGAAAUGGUUCAUUAUUUGGACUUACCAAUAAAAAUUUAUGGUCAGUUUAUUGGAAACUGCUCUGGAGGCCAACAGUCACGCGAAGCCAGUUCGCGAAUCCAUUUCGAGGGGACCUUUCACAUUGCCUUCCCUCAAAAACUCUAUUUUGUUUUCAUACCUAUCUAGCAGGGUUGUUGCUAGUAUAAAUACCCCCUAAGACGCAUUGUAAUCUCAGACUUUUGAUAAUUGAAAUAUAGAACCCUUUUGUUUAGCUGCGUGCUAACAAAUUCAGAGAGUGAUCUCUACCCCUUUGCUCUUGUGAUUUCCUCGCGGGAUUACAUAUGCAGCGGCUUCAUCCGCUCCCAAUUGGUGCUCCUACUCCCUUCAAGGUAUUCCUUGAUUCAUUGCAGGCUGUGUUGGUUGGUUCUUUGAGAGUGUGGUUGAGCGAAUCCUCGAUUCUGAUUGCCGGUUAAAGACAGUGGUUGGCUUCGAGUUUUAUUUGCCAGGUUGCACUAGUUAUUGCUGCUUGCAGCAAGUUAUCCAGCUGUUCUUCAGCUAGUUAUCGGUGUUCUUCCUACGUCGUGAAGAUUGGGACAAGAUGUCGCAUCAAUAGACUGAGGCAGCGCAAUGAUGAAUCAGUUGAAAGUUUUGUGCAGAGGUUACGAGAUGUUAAGAAUAAAUGCUAUAGUGUGGUUCUGGAUGAUCGGCAGCUAGCCGAUUUGCUUUCCAGGGAUUGUUGCCACACAUUAAAUACAAAUAUGCUUCUCAAGAGUUUGAAAGCCUGAGUCAUUUAGUGCAGAGGAUUUCUGACCAGGAUAUCAAAGUUUUUGAACCUAAGAGAGUAUGGAACAAAAAGGUGUCAUUUGUCGAUGAGGCAACAAGCUCAGACUCUGAUGAAGAACCAGUCAUCAGCUUGGUAGAGUGGGUAAAGAAUAAGAAGCCGAUGUCUUGCCCUUUUGGGCAUAAAGAACCAAAAAAGUUUGUAUUUGAUAUCACCAAAACCAAUAGGAUAUUUGACUUUCUCCUUCAGGAGGGGCAAAAUAAUUUGUCACCCAAUCAUGUGAUUCCAUCGGCCAAAGAGUUAAAGAAUAUCAAGUAUUGCAAGUGGCGUAAUGCAACAUCUCAUAGUACAAAUGAGUGCAAGGUUUUCAGGCAACAGCUGCAAUCGGCUAUAGAAUCUGGGAGAAUUAAGUUCGAUAGCUCCAAAGCUCAAAAGCCGAUGAAGAUCGACCAACAUCCUUUCCCUACAAAUAUGUUGGAUGCUAAGGGAAAGACCAAAGUAUUGACUUCAGAGGCAGCUAAAAGAAGUGCAUCGGUAGAUCCUCCGCAUCAGAUUACUGCUGAUGAUGCCAAAGGUAAGGGCUUGAUCCAGGAAGGAACCAGCUCGGGAAGGCCUCCUCGAUCUGGCAUUGCAAUCACUCAUAGAAGGCAUCGGGAAACCUGGCAGCACCGUGAAGAUCGGUAUCGGCGCCAACAGGAGGAUCGUCAUUGGGAAGAAGAAAGACGCCGACAAGAGUGGAAUCGGUAUAAAGAUCAUUGGAAUUGUCAGUUCUUCAUCCACUGUUGGGAGCAAAACAUCAAGCUACCAACUGUUAGAGACUGUCCUGAGUGCAAUAUCUACAAUUGGUAUGAUAAACUGAAUUGGCAGUAUCAAGACAAUGAUCGGCGUUUGGUGGGCCGAUUAGAGGAAGGGCGUCAGUUCAUGAUCGACUAGUGGGCAAACUCAGAGUGCAUGACAGGCUUGGUGAGCGUGUCGGUUAUUUUCCUAGGAAGCAAGAAGAGCUUGAGGAAAUGGCAGAUGCACGAGUUCCUGAUGAAUUCAUAUUCUGUAGGGAUGCUAAUACUUAUCGGGUGGAAUCAAGAGAAAAUCGUCGUCAAUCGGUAAAGCAACCAUAACUUCCUCCAUGGUGUCUAGAAGGGUUGACAAGGACACAGAAGAGAAGGUUGCAGCAGGAGCGACAAGAAGAACUGAGUAGAGGAGAGAAUUCUGCUAAGUCUGUAGAUCGGCAGCAGUUAUAUCCUAAAGGAAAAGGUCUAUGGGCAGAUGUUAAUAUGGUGUUUAUGUUGCCGAUGGAAUUCCAUGUGCCCUUUAGUGAUGAUGAGGGCGUGAAUUUUCUCGAUCAGAUAGCUCAGUUGGCUCUAGAUCCGAUGACGACUAUUUUUAAAAAGCCCGCUGAUAAUGAGAGACAACAUCUUAAAGCUCUGUUCGUCAAAGGCAGGGUUGAUGGACAGCCGAUGACCAAGAUACUUGUUGAUGGUGGGGCUGCUAUCAAUAUUAUGCCAUACGCAGUCUAUCGGAAGCUUGGCAAAGGAGAUCAAGAUUUGACCAAGACCGAUAUGAUGUUAAAGGAUUUUGAAGGAAAUGUGUCUCCAGUCAAUGGAGCCAUAUGUGUUGAGUUGACCAUCGGCAGCAAAACCUUGCCGACAACUUUCUUCAUCAUCAGUGGAAAGGGUGCUUAUAAUUUGCUGUUGGGUAGAGAUUGGAUUCAUGCUAAUUGUUGCAUGCCAUCUACAAUGCAUCAAUGCUUGGUUCAUUGGGUAGGUGACAAAAUUGAAAUUGUCCCAGGGGAUUCUUCAUAUGUCAUUGCAUCGGCAGAAGCAGAUACUUAUGAAAAGACCAGAUGCAUUUCAGGAGAGGUUUGGGAGAAGGAUUUCCUCAAGGUCGCCGAUUAUGAAAUUCCACUGAUCCAAGCAGUCGGUUCUGACGAAGAGUUUUAAUGGAUAGGUUUGUCGAUGAUGGAAAAUUAGGCCGGGGGUUUACAUCAGCCGAUGAUCUAGUAGAAGUAGAUAUAGGUAAUGGUGAUAGGCCAAGGCCUACUUUUAUUAGUGCUAAGUUAGAUUCUGAGUAUAAGCAACAAUUAUCCGAUUUGUUAAAGGAAUAUAAAGAUUGCUUUGCUUGGGAUUAUACAGAGAUGCCUGGUUUAGACCGAUCGAUUGUUGAACAUCGGUUACCUAUCAAAUCUGGAUUUCGGCCGCAUCAACAGCUAGCUCGCCAAUGCAAUCCUAAUAUUCUUUCUAAUAUUAAGGCUGAAAUAACUAAACUCAUUGAGGUUAAAUUUAUUCGGCAAUGUCAGUUUGCCGAGUGGAUUUCUAAUGUCGUUCCAGUUUACAAGAAGAAUGGGAAGCUUCGUGUCUGCAUUGAUUUCAGGAAUCUUAACAAGGCUACUGUUGACGUUUCUUGAGUACCAAAUAUAAUCAUCAAAUAUAUAAAGAAAAGGAUCCAAAUGCAACCAACACCCAGACUUAGGGUUUUAUCUGAUGGAAUUCCACGAGUUUUGGUGUUUGUCUAUUUCUGCGGGGGUUAUCAGGAAAUAUGAAGGGAAGGCCCACACAUCGGGUUUACAUAGAGAUAUUAACGUGUCGUGCAAUUUUCUAUCAUCUAGAAGACUCCAGAAGCCACGGGAACGAACGGGAGGCCGAACGGGCCCGGGGGCAGGGCGCCCGCCCUCCCCGCUUGGGCGCCCGCCCUGGUACAAGCACCAAUCACAGAAUGGAGUACACCAUGACAAAGAUCUCGUCAAGCUGAUUGAAAUGCAUAUAUUAUUUGCUAUAUUUGGAGUUCGGAAUCAAGAGAUAUUAAUAAAAGGACUUCACAAAAAAGAGCUGCGGGAUUAAUUGGGCCCAAAUUAGAUUUUGGUCCAUUAAAGCCUAUGUGCAUUUUAAUAAGAUAUGGUGGAAAGUUUAGUACCACAUCGCCUGUUGAACCAAAAAUGCACAGAGGAGGACUAUAUAAGCAGACCAAUGUGAGUAGAAUUAGAUCUUCUAGUUUCUACUAGAUUAAGAGAUAUAGAGUGGAGGUGUAGAUCGGAGGAAGCCCGGCCUGUCGGUGUCUACUCUGAGGUUGUACCUGCGGGAUCAAGUCUCCUAACCCGAGGCUUGCCCCUAGGAUUCUUCAGUAAUUCGACUUCUAAAUUCUAGUAAGUUCUUGUUUUAUUGUUCUUUGGUUUAUGAGUUUACUUUAAUCUCUUUCGGUUGAGUAUUAGAGUAAUCAUUGCUAGCGUAAACAUGGUGUUUAGGCUAGUGUACUCAUAGAUAUCCCCUGACUAGCUGGACCGUGGUAGUAGCGAGGAACGUGACAUGUCCGAGUUACCUUUGCAUCCCAUAUCUUGUUAGCAGGACAGGUAGGGUUUAUAGGUGCGGGUCGAACAUCCUUUGUAGUGUCUAGAUUCCGUGAGCCUCUCCAUUAGAACAGUAGAUCAUCCUUACCAAGGUUAGAACGAUACUACGGUUGCAGUCUUCUCUAUACAUCGCUCACAUCGAGAAACAUUCUUUGUAGCCUAAAGGGAUAGUAGCAAUAGAUUUGGUUAGUCAGAUGCACCCUUUCUCCCAGUGGUAAAAAUAUAAAUACGAUACUCUAGAUAACCUCCCGGGUGAAAUGCUCACCGAUAUCCGUGCGCUUGCGGAUCAUUUCCUCAUUGCGUUACCAAAUAUCAACAAGCAUUUCUGGCGCCGUUGCCGGGGAGAAAGAUGGUUUGCUGAGAUAACUUUUAGUCUUGCUAUUAUCAUGUAUUAUACAUUUUAUUCUUUUAUCUUUUUAUUUUUUCCAUCUUUAUGGAUAACUCAAAUUCCACACCUAUUAUUGAUUUUUUUGCAUCUUCGGAGACCAGCCAUAGACCAUGGGAGUCAACAAGUCUUGCCCCUAAUUAUGAUCUGUGUUCGGAGUUGAUUGCAAUAGGUCAAAACCAACCCUUUUCUAUAGCCGAGGUCCUAUCUUUUAAUCAAGAAGAUAAUGAACUUUUAGCUACACCUAGGGAAUCUUUUAAUCUUUCUAUAAAUUCUGGUUUAAACCUAGCCCUACAAGACCAUGUUUUUUCUCGAUAUUUUCACAUUGGUCUGUUGGGUAUUUUAAACGCAAACAGAAAAAUCCGCAAGCGCACGGAUACCGAUGUAGCUUUCACCCGGGAGUAUUCCAGAGUAUCGAUUUUCCACAGAGAACGUGAGUGUACUAAUUAAGAUCCAAGAUCGCCCAAGGAUAACUAUAUAAUUAUUUUUGGUGGGAAGAGAGGAAGUUUCCUGAGAGUUCUCUAGUUGAUCUAAGAAUCAAGAAUUACUUCAAGAUUAUCUAUAUCGGGACAUCAGAGCACUAACCACAGAAAGAGAUGAGAAGGGGGCUAGGAAGGUCUGACUACGGUCCUACAAACACCGAUCCGAACGUGGUGGAAUACGUCGACCGUUAGGGCUGUCACUACCCUAGGGCUACCACAACAAUCCGUGGGAUUGGGUGCAAUUCCAGGUAAUCGCAAGACUAAACACCACGUCUAAUCUAUUAAUUACUACUCUAGCGUUAUAAAGACUAGAGCACUUGAUGCAAGCGGGAAUCCAAUAAAUAACUUGAAUGUAAAUAAAAGUAAUUAAAGAACUCAGGAAUUAUGAAUUGAAGAACCUGGAGAACGAUGAAGAACGAACCAGUUGCUGCAAAAGUACAAUGUUGAGGAAGAUCCGACAGAUCCGGCUCCUCCUCCGCUCUCCUCUUCUCUAUCCCUAUUUUCUAGAUUACAACUAGAACUAACUAGAACUAGAACUAGAGGAACUAGAACUAGAACUAGAUGAACUAGAACUAGAUCUAGAUGAACUAGAGGUAGAACUAGAAGAACUAGAGGGAUCCUCUCUACUUGGAUGAAGAAUUGAAACCCUAACUUUGAUUCUGAAGAAGAGGUAUGAUCUCCAGGGGCCAGGGGGGUCUGGUUUUAUAGUCCCUUCAAGUGAAUCUGGGUCAUCGGAUCAAACCGACAUUGAUCGUGUGGUUUUCCUUGAAGUAUUAGGUCGGUGGAGCAAGAUCCCCGAACUUCACCCUGAUUGGUCCAGGGGGGAGGGCGGGCGCCCUCAGGACUAGGGCGGGCACCCUGACCCUAAGGCCUCUCGUCUUCCGCUUCGGUCCCGUGGCUUCUGGAGUCUUCUAGAUGAUAGAAAAUUAUGCGGCACGUUAAUAUCUCUAUGUAAACCCGUAUUUCCUGAUAACCCCCUACAGAAAUAGACAAACACCAAAACUUGUGGAAUUCUGUCGGAUAAAACCCUAAGUCUAGGUGUUGGUUGCAUUUGGAUCCUUUUCUAUGAUUAAUUGAUGGUUAAAUAUGAGCAUUAAGGACCGUCAACAAGCUCCCCCAAGCUUAACCUUUGCUCGUCCCUGAGCAAAGAUUGACUCAAGAGUUUCUGCAGUGGUUUCAUAACUUAAAGAUACACAUGCGUUUAAACAAGAUCUCAUCUCUGGUUAGAGUAAACUGUUAAGACUUAAAACUUACUCAUUUACCUUUCACCAUGGGACUUGUAACCGUCACUUCUGUCUUGAGUAGUUAAAAGAUAGAACGGUCUAGUCAAGCACCAUGUCUCUUAUUCUUGAUCAGCUAUAGCUCUGGAGUUUUUGCAGAUUUUCAAAUAAAACUCAAAGAUUCCUUGUAUGACUCUCUCUAGUCUCUCUUUUGUGGUAUUUCUGGAUCCUUACCAAGGCAUUGAUGGUGUAUGCCUUCUCUCAAAGUAUGUGGUAUUUGUGGUAUGAGGCAUAGUGACAUUGCCUUCUCUCUCACCCUACUCUAAUAAGGUUUUAAUAUCUGGAGCUCAUAGGUGGGAGACAGCUAAUACAUACUUACAAGACAUUUAUUGUAUAGUCAAACCAUGGAUCUAGAAGAACAAGUCAAUAAGUCAAAUCAAGAUGUGCAUGUGUGGCGAAUGAAUGGUGAUAACAAUGGUGAUGAUGGUGAUAAUGGUGGAAACAAUGGUGAAAGUCUAAUUCUACUUUUGCUCUUUUGAGGGGAUACAUACCUUCCUUGCUCUUUUGAAACUUUUGGGGAGAAUGAGAUGCUCUGUAUUUUCUUUUUCUUUCCUCUCAGGUGGGUAUCUUGUACCCCUAAUUCUACUGUUGGACACUUGUCCAUUUUUACCUCUCGUCUCACUUUUUUUUUUCGAGGUUCCGGGCACUUGCCCCUUUUUAUUUCCUCGUAUCUUUUUUUUCUCUCUUCUCUUUUUUUAGAGCACUCAUCUCUUAAAAUAAUGUAGCAAGUGGUAGUAACCAAGAUAACUCGAGCAUUUAUUUCAUAGGGGAAAAACAGAAAUAUUUUUGGCUAUUCUCUCCCGGAUUAGGAGUAGAAUAUUUUUGGGUGGUUCUGGAGAUGGAAAUGGAUGGAUAUAUGUGGAUGCGUACUUCCGAAGUAGAAGUAGCAUGUAUGAGUGAACGUGCAAGUGAAUCUUGACUUAACCACAUGACAAGCUUCUAAGGGUCUACACAGCUUGACCACACUCAAUGCUCAUAAGCAGUAAAAAGUAAAUGUGUGGCUCAAAGUCUUGCAAGCAUGUAUAUAUGGCUGUGGUAGGAAUUUAAACUCUCAUCAUACAGGAACUCAUCAUGUAAUAUUUUAAAGAUUUUCAAAGAUAAAAUUCUCCAGAAUUCUAGCAUCUCUAGGAACAGAUAAACAGCAGCUCAACCUUCCCAUAUCGUAUCCGUUAACGACUUAGACUUUAGAUCAAGUACUCUCCCCACAAGUUCAGGUUUAGAGCAAAUCUUAAUUAAUAACAGUCAUGCCUAAACUUAAGAGAGGUUUCAAUUUUUAGAACUAAUCAUGGCAGAGCAACUAUUCAUCAUUUCCAUGUGAGAGCUUAUCAUGAGGGUUCAUAGCAAACUUUAUUUAUUUAUUUAUUUAGCAAACUAAGCAAAGAUAUAUAUAAGCAAAAAUUUUUAUUUGGGUUUUCAUGAUUAUGCAUCUUUUUAUUAUUAGAGUAAAGUAUAAACGUGAGUAGAAUCACUUAGCUGGAUAAAUGGGGGUGCUCUCCCCCAAGUUGGAUUUUGACGAAGUUUCUUCUGAUGUAGCUAGCACGUGGCGAAGGUGUAUUUGAAUGUCUGCAGCACUCUGACAGCGAGUAGAAUGUCCUCCGUCUGCUAGUCUUCUUUGAUCCUUGAAUUCUGUAGAGCUCAAAUAGACAACAAAGCUUUGUGGAACUAGUUAAGUGUUAGCAUAAAUAUCUAGCCUUUAUCAUGUUGAGCCUCCUCAAUAAAUGUUACUCUCUUUAGUAGGAUCAUAAAUUUAUUUUUAUAUUUUCAUUUUUAUAGGACAAGAAUAUAUAUAUAUUUAUUUUUAUGCCACCAUAGUGAAUGUACUUAUGGGUUUUAUGCCAUGAGCAUACUCACAUGGGGCUUACUAUUUUUAACAUUUUUAUUUUCUUUUCAAGAUAGCAUGAACCUGAUUAACUAAGCAAACUAUUUUAAAUAAUUGAAAGGAAAAGAUAACUACCAAGUUUACCUCUUGGCAAGGCGUUCGGUGUUUUUAAAUCCUCCGAACGGGACUCUCCGUUUUCUCAUUCGUCCUGGGAUUCGCUAGAUGGCGUAGUCGGUGGUUCCGGCAGCGCCUGGUCUUCAUGUAUAACUAUCUUCUCUCUCCACACCUGACUCGGUGCUACGGUCUCCUCAGGACAGUUCUAUUCAAGUUGUAUGUCUUCAGACCUUACAACUUCUCCUUCAUAGUCUACCCAUCCGUCCUUGAUGAUUUGCCUUCUCUGAUUGCGGUUGCGUCGUCUUCUUCUUGUCCUGACCUGCUUAGAGUCUUCAACUAUAUGGUUAGGGUCAGUAAAAUAGCGGCGU